ACAAUACAUCCAAAGGAGCAACAAACCACAAAGAACACCAACAAAAUACGCCCAUGAAAACAAGAAUCUGAAAUAGAUUCUAGUAGUCGUCCAUAUCAUCUUCACCACCCUCGCCAGACUCAGCACCCACUUCUUCAUAAUCCUUUUCCAGAGCAGCAAGAUCUUCACGAGCUUCAGAAAACUCUCCUUCUUCCAUACCCUCACCCACAUACCAGUGGACAAAAGCACGCUUAGCAUACAUGAGAUCAAACUUGUGGUCAAUGCGACCAAACACCUCAGCUACACUUGUGGAGUUUGAAAUCAUGCAAACAGCUCUCUGUACCUUAGCAAGGUCACCUCCAGGAACAACGGUAGGUGGCUGAUAGUUAAUACCACACUUGAAACCAGUAGGGCACCAGUCUACAAACUGAAUGGUUCUCUUGGUUUUGAUGGUUGCAACAGCAGCAUUUACGUCUUUGGGAACAACAUCACCACGGUACAUCAAACAGCAUGCCAUGUACUUUCCAUGGCGAGGAUCACACUUGGCCAUCAUAGAUGAUGGCUCAAAAGCACUGUUGGUAAUUUCAGCAACUGAAAGCUGUUCAUGAUAAGCCUUCUCAGCUGAGAUAACUGGAGCAUAUGAUGAAAGCAUGAAAUGGAUUCUUGGAUAUGGGACCAAGUUGGUCUGGAAUUCAGUGACAUCAACAUUGAGGGCCCCAUCAAACCUCAAAGAAGCAGUCAAGGAUGAAAUCACCUGAACCAAAACAAAACUCAGUAUUAGCUCAACAUCAAAACAAGUAAUUGAACAUGGAAUCACAAAAAAUUAUAACCAAAAUUGUAUCAUUUGAUAAAAACCUACCUGAGAAACAAGACGGUUGAGAUUGGUGUAGGUAGGACGUUCAAUGUCAAGGGAGCGCCUGCAAAUAUCGUAUAUAGCUUCAUUGUCCAACAGAACAGCAACAUCAGUGUGCUCCAAAAGGGAGUGGGUGGAGAGGACACUGUUGUAUGGCUCCACAACAGAGGUGGAAACCUGAGGAGAUGGAUAGACAGUGAACCCGAGUUUUGACUUCUUUCCAUAAUCAACAGAAAGACGCUCAAGGAGAAGAGAACCAAGACCGGAACCAGUUCCUCCACCAACGGCAUUAAAAACCAGGAAUCCUUGGAGACCAGUGCAGUUGUCGGCAAGCUUUCUGAUGCGGUCCAAACACAGAUCAACAAUCUCUUUCCCAACUGAAAGAUGAACACAUAAUAACAAACAUUAUAUUAGAUUAUAUCAUAACAAAUUAACACAUAAAACAAAGAUCACUAAUAAAAUGGUUUGGAAAUAAGAGAUUUUGAAACAUACUGGUAUAAUGACCACGGGCAAAGUUGUUGGCGGCAUCUUCUUUGCCGCUGAUAAGCUGCUCGGGGUGGAAGAGCUGGCGGUAUGUUCCAGUCCUCACCUCAUCAAUAACAGUGGGCUCAAGAUCAACAAAAACAGCACGGGGGACAUGCUUUCCAGCACCUGUCUCGCUGAAGAAAGUGUUGAAAGCAUCAUCACCACCUCCAACGGUUUUGUCACUUGGCAUUUGUCCAUCAGGCUGUGUACAUAAAAAUUCAAAUGUCAGCAACCUUCAAUCAUUCAACCAAAUGUACUAGGCAAAACACAUUUCUAAAAUAACAUUACAACAUAAUAAUUAUGAUGUAAAAAAUUAAGAUUUGAUUUCAAAUUAAGAGUACGUAUUAAAACAACACGUGAGCUCUUUUACAAACUAUAAUAUGCAGAUUUAAGCAUAUCAUCAAACUCAAUGAAUUACAAUAUUCAAGUAUAUAAAGAUUAACAUAAUAUUAAAACAAGAAGCAAAACAUGACACCUUGUGGAAAAAUAACGGUUCAAAUAAAAUUCACGAGUAUACUUUGCUAAAUAUACGAACAUAGAAAACGACAUCUCAUUCUAGAUGGACAUAAAACACAGAUCUCACUAGUUUCAGACCUAUAAACGAAAUCAAAGUGAAAAGAAUAAUCAAAUUUUGGAAACAAUGCAUAUAAGUAAGCGAAAACGAUGCAGUAUUAGAGAGAAAAUUAAAAUAAAUAAAAAACUAGCGAAAUUGUCAAAGUAACAUUCAAAAUUCCUUAGAUCUGAUAACUAGAAACAAUAAAAUGCUAAAAAAAAACUAGAGGAAAUGCAGAACAUAGAUCCAAUAAAAAACGCGAAUGGUCAAACUAGGAAACAAUGCAUAUAAGUUUAAGCGAAAACGAUAAUAUAGAAAAAAUAAAGAAACUAGUGAAAUUGUAAAAGUAACGGUUAAAAUUCCUUAGAUCUAAUAAAUAGAAAGAAAUUACAACAAAUAGAAAGCUAAAAAAAACUAGACGAAACACAUAUCAAAGAUUUGUACAACAAUGAGAUAGAAAGCAAAAUUGAGAUGAGAUGGAAGACUUACACCAAUGCCGUGUUCGAGACAGUAAAGCUCCCAGCAUGCAUUUCCAACCUGAAUACCGGCUUGACCAAUGUGGAUUGAAAUGCACUCUCUCAUUGUUGCUGAUUUAAUAGGAAUGAAAAUUGAAAUUGGAAGAGCGAAAGAAACGGAAGGAAGAAAGAACGAAGGACGUUUAUGAAGACGCCUUCUUCUAGAUCUGGAUCUGAUUAUGAGGAGGUUUUGUAAUUUUUGGGUUUUUAUUUAUAGUGAGAGAUAUUUGGUUCAUGUGCUAUUGUUAUGUUUAACCAUGGUUGGUUGACGGUGCGGAACUAAGGGUGAGUUGUACGCCAGAGUUAGAAACCACGGUUACUUCCUAACUUUUCAUUUGUUUGAAUUUUUUUACUUGUAUUUUAUUUUUGCCGCCCGAUGCCUGUAUAUACCAAUCGAAACUGAAUUUAGUUGUGCCGUAAUAAUUAAUGAAAAAUUAAACAAGAGAUGAUAAUGUAUUUUAUUGAUGAGAAAGGGAAGUUGAGCAAAUGAAACAAACUUUCCUUUAAUUUCUGAAUGCUAUGUUCGUUUAAAUUGGAGAGAAUUUUGAUUACAAUUAAGAGAAUUUGUUAUCUUAUCUCCCUACUAAUAUCUCUCCUACAUUUAUCGAUAGGACUUAUAUUUUUCCUCUCAAAUGUCAGUUCACCUUUUAUAGAUUUUCUAACAUACACUUUUCUAUAUCUUAGAUGCACCAUGUGUCACACAUCAUAAAUCUUAACUCUCACUUAAUGGUAUCACGAUUUAAGGUUUAACUUUGAGAAAUAAUGAUCACCGUGUAAUUCAUCUAAGAGUUCGUCAAUCACCGAUAUAGGGAACUUAUCUGGAACAAUUACCUUGUUAAGAGCACGAUAAUCUACACACAUCCACCAUGACAUGUCUUUCUUCUCAACGAGUAUCAAAUGGACUAUAAAAUGCACUUUGGCUAGGACAAAUGACUCUAGACUGCAUCAGCUAUCUGACUUGAUUCUCUAUUUCAUUCUCAUGAUGGUAAGGAUACAUGUAAGGGCGAACAUUAACAGUGUCAGCUCCUUCCAUACAUAGUUGAUCCAAACUAGCCUUUAUCUCAUGACUUGUAUCUUGCACUAAAAAAUAGAUCUUCGUUCGAGCAAUCCAACCAGGGAUCAUCAUCUGUGAACAUUAGGAGGUCAAUCGUUUUCACCGAUUGAUGUAAUUCAUCAAGCUUAUCUCCCUGCAUCUUCUAGAUCGGCUUAUUGAUUAGCUCGUUGCAGCAUAAUUCGAGUCUCCAUCACUCUUCUGUUUUACAUAAUCACCCAUUUAGUUGCUCUGAGUGAUGAGAGUGAUGAGCCUUUCUUGAUCUAUUGCAGCUUGAGCUCACAUCUCGGCAAUUGCAACCUCGAGGGUUGACAUUCGGUUCUCCAACACAUGAACUCUAUUAUCCAUCUUCUUCUUCUUUAGAGGCCAUUCACCCAAAAAAAGUGUCCACUCACUAGUUUGUAAUGUAUUCGGCAGGUCGGAUCAAAUUGAUAGGUUCUCAAUUUAUAAAUGCAAUAAUAAGAAUUAAUGAGAGAUGAAUCAACAAUUGAUAGUGUAUUUUAUUAAUGAUAAAAGGAAAUUGAGUAAAGGAAACAAGUCUUCACUUUACUCUUAAAAGUUAUGCUCACUCAAAUCAGAAAAAAUCUUCCCUCUGAUCCUAAUUAACAGAAUUUGUUAUCCUCUCUCCUUACCAAUUUGUCUCCUGUAUUCUCUCUUUGUCUCCAUCAUGUUGGCUAAGUUUGUAUUUUCAAUUUUAAAUAUUCAAAAUAGUGUUGACAAAGUUAAUAAAAUAAAUGCUUGUAUUUCUCAUAAAAUUAUACUCCCCUCAUCUCAUAGAAAUAAAAAAAUAUAUAUAAAUGUAUAUCUUAAAGAAUUUACAAUAAUUUUUUUUUGACAAUAUUUAUAAUUUAUUUAAAAAAAUAAGUGUUCUAUAAUUUCUAUUUGCAGUUUUAAAUCUUAAACAAAGAGAUGCAGUCUUUUUUUUUUUCUCUGCAAAAUGUACAAGUUGGACAAUGGAACAAGGAAAAAAGUUGUAGACUUGUCGUGCAUAAUAUGUUUAGUUUUGCUAUUAUAAUAAUUGGUUUUGACAAUUUUGAUUUUUGAUCAAAUAGAUUUUAAUUAAAAAUAAAUUGAACGUGAAUUUAUUUAUUUAUAUUAAUUAAUGUAAAUUGAUUAGUUUAUAGCAGAUAGUUUUUAGUGUACAAAAUCAUGAUUUUUUUUUUCAUGUGUUAGACUUUCUUUAUCGUGUUAGAUCAAUCAUUUAAUUAAUCAACUAUCAAUUGACAACAAAUAAUUAUUAUGAAUUAUAUUAAUAUAUAUUUAAUUAACCGAUGAAUAUGUGUUGGUUAUUUUCUGAAUAUAUGAUGAUGAGUUGAAUCAUUUUAUUAAACUCAAUCAAAUAUAUUUUCCCUCAAUUGUUUUAGCUAUCAAAUUGUUAUCAUUUUAUGUGAUUAACUUUACUGUGAAAAUUUAGACAAUGGAAAUAGUGGUAUAUCAUUCUUUUUUUAAAAUUAUUAAUUCUAUUAAACUCAAUCAAAUAUAUUUUCCUUCAAUUGCUUUAACUAUUAAAUUGUUAUCAUUUCAUGUAAUUAACUUUACCAUGAAAAUUUAGACAAUGAAAACAGUAGUAUAUCACUCUUUCUUUAAAAUUACUAAUAGCUUGUUUGAUUGUGUUUUACUUUUUAAUUUUUAAAAACUAUUUUAUGAAUAAAUUUUAGAAAACUGUUUUUAAAAAGAAAAUUUAAAAAAAAUUUGUUUGGCAACUCUAGUUUUUAAAACAGUUUUUGAUUAUAUAGUUAAAAAAACUGAAAAAUUAAAAGUAAAAUAUUAUUUAUCUGUUUUGUUUUUUUAGUUUUAAAAAGUAUAAUAUUAAAAAUAGUUUUACAUAACAGUUUUUAGAAACAAGUAAUUCAAACAAGUUUUUUAAUUUUUAAAUUUUCAAAAACUAAAAUAGAGUUUUUGAAAUAUGAAUCAAACAAGACCAUCUCUUAGAUUAAAAAAGGUAUACAAUUGUUGGUUCAUCUCUCUUUUUUAUUAAAGUGAUUAUCUUCUCUUUUGAAAUCACAAGAUAAAACAAUAAAAAAUACUUAAUUCGAUGGAAAUAAUCUUUUAACAAAUUUUGUUAAUCUUCUGACCAAGUUCUGAAUUAUUAAAUCUCCUUCUUUAAUUUGGGUACUAAUGGACUAAAACAACAACAAAUUAAGAACAUUUGAUGAUUUAGAAAUAUCAACUCAUAACACAUUAAGAAGAAGAUAAAUAUACAAACAUAUAUUCCUGUAAAACACUACACAGUCAUUCUUGUUGAUAAUGCCUUGAUAAAACAUCUUAUUACAACGGCAACAACUAUUAAAACACUAAAGUUCAAACAUUCAAUGGACAAUAGAUAGAACAUAAGCUCUCUUUAAGAAAUCGGCUCCUUAAUUUGAAAAGUACAAUAAAUCAAACUUUUCCUUAUAUUUUUGCACGAUUCACUUAAAAUUUGUCUACAACCGUCAUAUAUAACUUUUACACCUUGGGCAUUUAGGAUCAGCUUCAGAAACAAUAGCAAGCAUGCAGCAAAUCUUACAUCCCACCACAAUAAAUGAGGGUAGAUCCUCUUUGGCAUUCACCAUUGACUCACUCACACUUCUUUUUUGUAUGUCCACCAAUGCUGAUUCAACCUUUGAAUGUACAAAUAAUAAUAUAAUAAUGAUAUAUGUUUCUAUAUCUAUUUAUUUAAAAAAGACAUAAAAAAUUAUUUUAAAAAAUAGAGGAAAAUAAUAUAUACCAUAAUAGUUAUUAAGUUAUGAUGUUAGUAAUAAUUGGAAAAAAUAAAAAUAAAAGUUAAUUUAAUUUAACACUAAGAUAUUAAGAUUCUAGAAGAAAAUAUAUAUGAUGAAUAAUUAAAAACAAAAAUUACCUCAAAACUAUAUUGAUUUUGCAAUUCAAUUUGUGCUGGUUUAUUGAGAUCAAGAGAGGAGUGAAUUUGCUUUCGAAAAAGUUCAGAGCUAAUGUUACUAGCACUCUUCAUGAUAUUACCUUGACCUCUUUUUUUAAUUGUCACACCCUUCAUCUUUUGUAAUUUAUAAGUAGGUGUUUUCAUUGCCUUCAACUUAAAGCGAGAGAUGGAUAGAAGAUGAUGUAUUAAUAUGUAUAUAUACUAAGGAUGUUCUGGAGCAUACUAAUCAGAAAACCGAAGAAGGUUCAUGCUUAUCAUACCAUGCUGCAUAUUCAAAAUGCCAGUUACAGUUUGAUAGUUUUUAUUUGAAAUAUCAUAAACAUAUUCACACACCAUGACUUGAACUAAGUAGAAUAAUAGUACAUUUAUUUUAGAUAGAAAGUGGCUUUAAAAAACAUAAUAAAUUAAUGUAUAGAAAAAGUAGUUUCAAGAAAAACGUGAAGUUGACUCGGAAAAAGAAAAAAAAAAAAAAGAAAAAGGUGAAGUAAAAAAAAUGUGAAGUUAGUAUUAUUUUUAAAAAUAAUGAUUACAUUAUGUGUGAAAAAAAGGUAAUAAUAAUCAUAUAAAACGUUUACAAUUAAUUGUAAAAUUGACCGCUAAAUUCAAAUUUUCGAAUUUGUUCUAGAAUGUAGAAUGUAUAGGAAGUUGUUCCCAUCUUCUUUUUUUUUUUUUAUAUAAAUUUAAUCAGAAAAAAAAACGAAAAACGUGAAGCUCGCGUAAAAUAUAAUUAAUUUAAAAAAAUAAGGACAACAGAUAUAUGGGUGAAAAAGGUAAUUACCAUGUAUGCAUAUUUUCAUUGUAUCCUUACUUGAUUUAAUCUUACAAUUUAAAAUUCUUUUGAGGACUAGAUUCAUAAAAAUUGUAAUAAAACUUUAUUAUUGUAAACAAGCCGUAUGUGUAAUGUUGUUGUGAAAUAUCAAUUUUUAAAUUUUAUUUUUUUUAUGGUAAUUUUAAAUUUUAUUAAACAUUGUAUUUUUUGUUAUUUUUUUUGAAAUACAUUAUAUUUUUAAUUAAUACAUUUUUAUCAAUUAUAAUUAAAAAAAAACAUUGUUUAUAUAUUACAUUUGUAAAUAUAAUUAUCUCGUACGAUGAAUAUCAUGUUUAAUUAUUAUAGUUAUUAUAUAUGACACAUGUUCUUACAAAAAAAUUUAAAAUAAUUUUUAUAUACAUGUGAUAAGUUGUUACUUACGAAAUUGAAUUAUUAUACAUGAGAUAAAUUGUCGUUUAUAAGAUUCAACUAUAUACUUGAAAAAUUCUGACAAAUUAAAAAUAUCACCAUAAUUAUCAUACACAAUUUUUCAACAACAAAAAUUCAAAAUAAUUAUCAUAUAUGAGAUAAAUUAUCAUUGAUGAAAUUGAAUUAUCAUACCCAAAAAAAAUUCAGUCAUACAUAUUUCAAAAUUACUAUAUAAUACAUUAGACAAGUUAUUACCAACAAUAUUCAACUACAUACCUGAAACAAAUUUUAACAAAUAAAAACUUUAAAAUAAUUGUUAUACACAAAAGAUGUUAUCUCUUAUGAAUUGAACUAUCAUAUACAACAUACAUUAUUGCUUAUAAUAUUGAACUAUCAUACACGAUACGAGUUUUCAUUGAUAAAAAUUAUCACUGAUGACUGAUGAAAUUCAACUAUCAUACACAUGACAAAUUAUCAUUAACAAAAAUUUCUGAAUAGAUAUCGUACACAUAAUAAGUUGUCAUUUAUGAAAUUGAAUUAUACACGAAAAAUUUUUAGUUGUAAAAAUUUUAAAAUAGUUAUCAUAUACGAAAUAAUUUGUCACAAAUGAAUUGAACUACCACACACAAAACAAAUUCUAAUUGAUAAAAUUUCACAAUAACUAUCUUCUGAAAUUGAAUUAUUAUACACAAGACAAUUUUUUAUUAAUAAAAAUUUCACAAUCAUUAUCAUAUGUGAGCGAGAUAAGUUUGUCUCUACUAAGAUUGAACAUUUAAUAAAUAGUACGUGCUAUUUUGCAAUUCAAAUUUUAAAUAUACACACAUUUGUACUCUAACAAGCGCAUAAUAAAUUAAAACUUUCAUAUUCAUAAGUAAAAUUUCAAAAUAAACAUAUUAGACUCUAACAAUUAACAAAGAUGUCCCAACUCAAUCUAUCACCUCUUGCAAUUCCUGUUUUAUACUUCUGAUUUUCAAUAUAACAGGUUUCUCUGGGAAAAGAAUUAUCUGACGUUAGCACAGGAAAGAUACAGUGCCUUUCACUCUCUGUGCGCUGUCAGAUCAAUCCAGCCCUAUAAAACUUGCCAUGUGUCUCUCUCUGUUUACUUUUUUUCUUUUAAUUUAAAAAAUAAAAGGUAGCCGAAAGUCGAAACCAUUGCAUUGCCUUCGUCUCUUGCCUCUACGCCGUCCUGCCGCUUCAUCUCCUUUCAUUGUCGACCCACCAUUGCAUCACAUCACAUCACAUGUGCUUCAAAGUCACGCUCUUUCUUUCAGAUUAUAGUUCAUCAAUUCUCCAAUGUCAAUUCUCAUCAUAAGCAUGAACUAUAUUGUUAGUUCAUCAUCACAAGUACUUCACUCAAAACUCCAAAAGUAAUAAGUUAAUGGAGUAACUAUGCGAUUCAGUUAAAGUUUAUUACACCAACCAUUUGUCAAAAGUGAUUGUAAAAUCUUCUCAAAGUCUUAGUUGCCAACAAGAAAUCGGCAACUUCAUGCUUAUAUUAGAAAGGAUUCCAUUGGCCAUACUUAAAUCACCUUCACAGUUCUCAAAUCAAUAGACAGCAUGGUUCACUUUAUGACACAUUUUUUAAGUCCCGAUCACAUUUUUUAAGUCCCAAUCUCCCCAGCCUUAGUGGUCUACGAAUUUAUUUUCUUUUUACAAAGAAGAUCAUGGUGGUAAAGGAAUCGGGGGUGAAGAAAUGGUGCGGUAGAGGAAUCAGACCGAAGGAGGAAGUGACGCGGCGGCAAAGGCAAGAGAUUUACGAUGUGGCGAUGCAAUGGUUUUGUCUGCCUUUUCUUUUUUGAAAAGAAAAAAGAAAGUUGAGAGGAACAUACAGCAAAUGAAUAUGGAGUUAGAUUGAUCUGACGGCACAUUCGGAGUGACAGGCACCCUGCCUUUCCCAUGCUAAGGUCAGUGGAUCGGGAUCCGGUUUUUCUGUCAUAAAAAAAAAAGGCUUUCCAAUGAGAGGAAUCUGAAGUGUGAGAAAAGUUCAGAGCGUGUCACCUCAAAUGCCUUGCAAACUUCAUAUUGAGAAUGAAAUAUCUAAACAGCAAAACACAUGUAGUUCCAUAUACACUAAUAUAUUGGAGAAAAUCAUUCUGAAACAGUACCAUCUACAUGCUUAUGCUGAACAGAAUUUGGUUUUUACCUAAACAUCAACGCACAAAGAGAGAGACCAAUGCUAUUGAAAAAAAAACUAGUAUAUCCUCCUAACACCAUACUUGGAUUAUAUUCAAAAUGUAACACCAGAGUGACCUGAAUAUUUUAUAAAACUCAUUACAUCAUUCACAACCUAUUCAAAACAUAGAACCAAAUUGACCUGAACAUUUUAUAAAAUUCAUUACAUCAUUCACAACCAGUUAUUUAUUAUGUACUUAUCAAUGCAUUUCACAGAAAAGAUUAACAAGGAUCAUCAGAUUAUUUAUUGAAAUUCUCCUAGAUGACAUGGGGGAAUGAAAGUACGCCUCGGCGAGUAUGCAGGGAGAUUAAGACCAAAACCUGGAUGCAGAUCAAACUCUCCACCCCAAAUUGGAGGCCUUCCAAAAGGAAUAGGGCCUCUUCUCCUUUGAAAGUAUCUCAUAAUACCACUGCGACGAAUUCGAACAGGAAGCGGUUGCUCAGCUUUCUUCUUCGUUGCCCGGUAAUGAGCAAACAAGUUCUUAAAAAACUUCCCUCCAUCCAUCCUUUGUCCAAACUCCUCCUCAAACUUCUUCUUCCACAACUCAUCGUUUGAAGCAAGGUAUUGCAAUUCUGAACACGUGCAACACACUUUAGCCAAAUCAUCACCAGGAAGAUACUCAAAUAUCAGAAGCUUAAGUUCCAUCGGGAGUCGCAUAAAACAAGGUGGAAGAUCCAAUCCAACUUUAUCACAAAGAUCAAUUAAAAGUGGUAAUGCAAGCCUAUCUUUAACAAUCUUCCACAAUUCAAAAACUUCAUCUCCACCAUCAUUAACACCACUAGCAUUAGAUUCAGAACUCUCCAACAUCAUAAACUCUAAAGGCUUGGCAAAUCUACAUUUAUCUAAAUAAACCCUAUGAACCCUAGAGCCUACGUCAUCACACAAUGAACCACAAACAUUCACAAAAUUCCCUAAUUUCUGAAUUUUCAAAUUCACAGCAUGAGAUGAACCAUUAGUGAGAAUCUCAGGAAGAGUAUACCUCAAAGAUAUCAUUGAAGAAGAAGAACAAUCAUCAAGAAGAUGAGAGCAACUAAUCGCCAUACCCGAAACCUGAUCAACACGAACAAACCCAGAUUCAAGAAUAACAGCAUGAACCGCAAAUACCAAUAGCUUGAAAUCGCUAAAGUCAUCGCCAAGCGCUUCUUUAAGAACUCUUUUCACAAACUCAGGUUCAGAAUUGUUCUUCAACACUACCACCGCCUCAUCAGACACGUCAACCAUUUCUACGUUUUCUGAAUCUGCAGGGUUCAAAGCCGGAGACUUUUCUCCGAUUGGAAUCGAAUGAGUGUCGCCGGCGUUGUUUUCCGGCGAGUCUUGAAUGAUGGGUCGAUGGUUGGAAUGGGGUUCUUGUUGUGGGGUGGGUUUGUGAGGGAGGGUUUCGCGGGAGAAGGUGUUGGGGUUGAAUGUGUAGAAGAUGAGGUCGCCGGUGGCGAUGCCAAUUGAAUGGAGAGAGUCUUCGGGCGAAGAAGCGUCGAUUUCGUCUUUUCUGUUGAGGGAUAGAUGGAGAGAAGAAGAGGAAGAAGAAGAAGAAGAGAUUGCAUGAGAAAUGGUUUGUUUGAGUUGGUGAAAGGAACAUGGAUCGGGAACUUCGAUUUUUAGGGUUUCUUUGGAUUCGAAAGAUCUGAGUCUUAGUUUCAUGGUUGUUGAUUGUAAUAACAGAGGUAAAUGGGAAUCGUAAGCAAUGUGAGGAGCGUUCGUACUGUCUCUUUGUUUUGUUUUCGCUAAAAUUCUUUGUCUCAACAGUCGAAUAUAAAUUGCCAAAUAUAUACUCCUCUAAACUAAUGAAUCUAAUUUUAAUUUUUUAACUAUUAUUUGUAUUUAUAUUCAGUAGAUUGCUAAACAAAUGAGUACACCAUGAAUUAAAAAUUACUAUUUGAAAUAAAUAAAUUAUUCCAAUUAAUAAAAAAAAUGUAUUUCAUAUACAAAUUAACGAUAAAAAUAAGUUAACAUGUAUAAAUAAAUAAAAAAGAUAACAAUGAUAAAUAUAUUAUUAUUAAAUUGUAUAAGUGUCGUUACUUCAUGAUGUAUCCGUUAUAUUAACUUGCUAAAAACUAAAUUUUACGUAAGUAAACGAAAAUAUUUAACAACUAUUGGAGAGAUGCUCUAACAAACUUGUAAUCCCAAUACCCUCAUCCUCAAAAUGUAUAUAAUCUCCCAAAAAUGGAAUUAAUUGGUUUCUACUUUGAACUACAUCCCUGAAUGAAGUUUGAACAAAUAUUUUUCUAUAUCCGUACAUAUAGAAAAUAAUACAACUAUUAUUUAUAUGAUAAAGUCUUGAAUAGAGAAGAAUGAUUGAACAAUGUUAUCCUUCUAAUAUAGGAAAUAGACUAGCUCUAUCGUACGACAACUUGUGCUUAACUAUAUAUGUGAAAGAAAAAGAUUACUCCAUAAAGAAAUACUUAUUUUUUUUAUUACUAGGAAUCAAAUUCGUUACUCCAAAAUUUACAUCAUCCACAUAAGACACAUUUGUUUUUUUAAAAUGAACUUGUUGACCCUAAGUUGCAUAAUUGUCCAACCCGUUUUAUCUCCCACGUCCUUAUGAAAUUACCUAGGAUGAGUGUCUUUAGAAAAUCGGGGGUGCGGAUAGCUUCCCACCAAUUUUCGCCCUAUUUAAAAACUAAAAGGCCCAAAAGAACAAAAAAAAAAGUAUUUUGCGUUUCCUACAAAAUUAAGGGCACAAGCUUAUAAGGGGAACACUUACCAAGCUGUCAAUCAUCAAAUUAUUAUUGUUGUUGUUGUAAUUAUUAUUAUUGUUAUUAUUAUUAUUAUUAUUACUACUCCUGUCUGUCUCCUUCUCAAUCUCGCUCGAUCACUGUAAAAUUAAAAAUCCCUCUUUUCAGUUUCAGUUUCAAAACCCCGCGUGAUUAAGCUCCACUUCCACCACUUCUAUAAACCUCGUCUUUCCAUUGGUAAGUAUAUAUUUAUAUAUAUAAACAUCUCACCUUUUCUCUUAUAUUCUAUAACCCCUAUCUAAAAAUCUUUAAACCGCAUUCAUCUUUUUCAUUGUAACCUAAUUUUCUAUAUACAUUUUUUUUAAUUCUAAGAUAGGGGCACUCCCAUAUUGAAUUUGAUUUUAAAUUUUUAACGUGGUUAGUGUUUCGAUUUCGGCGACCUCACUUUUAAUUUCGAUCACUUAAGUGCUAAUGAAUUUCACUAUUUUUCCCGGGAAUUAUGUCAUUAUUAUUAUUAUCAUUAAUUUUUUUUGUUGGUUUAAUGUUAUAUACUAGUAUUGUAGGAUACUAAGAUAUGAGUAACUUUUUACACUUGUAGAUUGCAUUAGCAUUAGUCUUUGGAGGCUUAUCUGCUAAGAUGUCCAAUAAUAAUCCACAAUAUCCAGGUUUACAGGUAGAGUAUCUAGAAGUAGAAAUUUUUGCUGCUUUAAAUGUUAUUAUUUUAAUUUAAUUUUUUAUGUUAUUUUUUCUUUUUGUUUUGCAAGCCUAUUCGGCCUCCGAUUCCCGGUUCAGUGGAUCCUCAGCGCAAUUUCGGUCCACUCAUGCCUGUUCAAGUAAUUAUUUUGUGUUUUAUUUAUUUAUUUACUAACUAUGAUGGUAUCUGCUCUAGGUCAAAUCAUCUUAUACGAAUAAAUCAAUUUGUUUAUGCAGUUUCGCUCUGUUGUUCCCCCUCAACAGCAACAACAGUUUGUUCCCAUGCCUGCUCAACAUUACCACCAACAGUUUAAUGUCGGAAUGCCUCCUCAAAAUCAGCAGCCUCAAUUUUCUCAACCAAUUCAACAGUUUCCCCCGAGAGCUGGUCAACAGUUACCACACCCAUCACAGGUGAUUCCGAUGCCAGUUGUGCGGCCGAACAUGCAGCCAUCAUCCGAAUCAAUGAUGCCACAGCCUGAUUCUCAAGCUCCAAACGGAUACACACCGGGUUUAGGUGGCCCAGGAAAUGGAAUGCCACUUUCCUCAUCGUAUAUGGUAAAGUUCCGGCUUUAAUUUAUGUGGGAUAAGUUAAAUUUCCAUCACACGAAUGCUGAUUCUAGGUUUGCAUUUAUGCAGUUUGCACCAUCUUCUUAUGGUCAAGCGCAGCAACCUAAUUUUAUUUCUACUAGCCAGUACCAACCUGUUCCCCAAAUCCAAGCUCCCUCUGGUUCUUCAUCUCAAAGCAUUACUCCUGGCACAUCUCAUCAGAGCAAUGGUGAACAACCAACAGUUGCAACUUUCAUGCAUUCAGUACGAGUCUUACUUAUUUUUUACUUCAUGCAGAUCCCGUGUUUUGCCUCCACAGAAAUUUUUAUGCAGUCUUAAUUUAUUUCUUUCAGGCUACAGUUGUUCAGCCACACCUUGCCAAGGUUGGCCCUUCAGAUUGGAUCGAGCAUAAUUCUUCUACUGGAAGAAGGUAAAUGAUUCAAAUGUUUGCUUGUGAUCCUAAGUUACAGAUCACGGUUGAAAAAUAAAAAAGGGGUUGGGAGAGUGGAAAUAAGUGAGGAUUGCAACCGAUGUUUUUAAUAUGCUUUCCCUGUAGGACAUAUCCUCUUAGUGUUUUGUGCCCAUCUUCAUUCGGCUUGGUAGUUCUUUUUUCACCUAUCAUAGACUCCAAGCAUACUUUGGGUUGUAGACUGUAGUUACUUUAUCAUGAUGGUAUCAUUCUUAAUUAAAAUGGUAUCAAAACUAAAAUUAAAGAUACUAGUUCCUGGAGGUUUAUUUAGUGUUUUAUUUUCAGAUUAACAUUUGUUCAAUUCAUUUUACUUAUAGUUAAUAGAUUCUUAUAUUGACAUCACUCUUGUUACUAAUUGCUAUUUGUUUACAUCUGAUCUCUAUCCUUUUUAACUUUUGAUUUCCAUAAAGUAAAAAAUUAGUUCAACAAACCAUCUAUAAAAGGGAAAUUACCAUUAGUGUUCGUUAUUUAGACUUAUCCCCUGGUUUAUGUUGCAGUCAAUUUUUAAAUAUUCUUGAUGUUCUUUUGGUCAAUUAGGUCAAUUUAAUAUUCUCUCGAGUAAUGCUCAAACCUUUUCCAGUAAUAACUGUCUACAAGUCUCAGUUUAUAAAAUUUAACUUUAUUUUACAGAUUUUACUACAAUAAGAGGACUAAAUUAUCUAGCUGGGAGAAGCCUUUUGAAUUGAUGACACCUAUUGAGGUGAGCCAUUAAUUUCACUCAUCUUGUUAUAUGAUUCAUUAGUCAUGCCUUUGGAACUUUUACUUUUGGGUUUCUGGUGAAAGUUGCCACAUUUGCAUAUUGGUCAGUAAGUACAAUAAUCUGGUGUAUUAGCUCACUCUGUACUGAAUGGGUUUUCUCUCAGGCUGGCAACAAUCAAUCUUGACUUUAACGUCUUGUUGUAAGGUCAGUUUUGUGACAAUUGCCAGUUGGACUGUCUGAUAUCAGCUUUGUUUUCCUUGGAUGCUGCUGUAGAAUAACUUUUUAUUUCAUUCUCUUAUAAAAUAUAGAAUGCAAAUUAUUCCCUUCAAUUCAGAAAGAGUGACAAGAAACAGUUGAUUUUGUCCUAAGAUUAUUUUUAGUAUCCUUUGUUUAAUACAAAAUAACAAUUCUUAUUCCUUGGGUUUCUUGCUUCCUUCUUUGUGUGCCGACUUCUAACUCACCGUUGCUUAUGCAUGCUUCAUAGAACAGUUAUGUAUAUUUGUUUAAGUUUAUUUCUGAAAAUAAAGUGCUCUUUCUCUGGUUCCACUUCAUGUGUGUGGCAUGUGCACAUAUUUUUACUUUUUGUUAAUGUGAUUUUCACUGAAGAUAAUUACUGUCCUCUAUUUGCUUAAUAGGCAUUGAUGUAUAAUGCAUAAGUUAUGUUGAUACUAUACAUGUUAAAAUAAGAGAAUUGUACUGAUCGAUCUCUUGUUCUAUCAUUUUCUAAUUAUCAAAGAUAAUUAAUAAUAAGCCGAUUUCUGAUGAUAUACAGUUUCUUCACAAUGCUAGUUCAAUGUAUUCUUAAGAAAAGGGUCCUAGUAUAUCUGUUUAGUGUAAGAUUUUGAGCAUACGAUGGCUGUCUUUUAGUAAUAUUAGUAUCACUCUAGACACUUCAAAGUCGGUGGCUGUUUUUAAUGCCUUUAGGAUAUCAUAUCUUCCUUUUACUUUAUUCAAAUCUACAUAUGUGACUCCCAUAGCUUUAAGAUGCUUACAGGUACAUGCUGUGCUACUCUAUUGAGAGGUAGACUUUUCUUGGGGUCUUUGCUGCUUGCCGUACCUACUAUUUUACUUUAAUGUUAGUAAAUUAUAUCACUGCGUCAUUGUCUAGAUUUUUAAUUACUUUGGAAUUUUGUAAUGAUUUAUCAGUGAAUUUGAAUUAUGCAUGCUUGAUGCUUCUAAAUCUUUACACAAUUUUUAUAUCCGUUCUAGGGCUAGUUCUCAAAACACUAUUUAGUGUAGUUUUUCUUUUGCUUUUUCUCUCUCUUUUGCACUUCUUUUUUCCUUCCCUUUUUCCUGGGUAAGGACAAGGUCUAUAUCCCCUCAAGUUCUUCUUUUUCUCUUUUUAAUUAAUCUAUUUUUAGCCUUAAAAAAAAUGUCAUUACUUUUAUGAAGGUUGGACUAGGCAACAUUUUCAUCUAAAACAAUGUUUCCAACCUUCCUGUUUGUGGAAUGAAUGUUACAUAAGAAUAUGGGUGUUGAUUUUCCAAUGUACCACUCAUACCUUAGAACAUGAGUUUUCUGUUAUGAAGCAGUAAGUUACUUUGCUUUCUAUUUCUCCUAUAUGCGGUUCACUGCUGUCUGAUUUUAGGAUCUUUACAAAGGUACUGUAAAUGAUGUUCGCAAAGAAAAUUUGCAGGUGCAUUCAUUUAUGGACUUUUGGUAUGAAUGUACAGUGUAGUUACAUUAUGAAGAUUCGGAAUUUCAUGUUCACUGCAUAUGAAUCCUUUAGUAUCCUUGUCUAUAUACAAUAUGCUCUGUUGAGAGGAUUGCAUGUAACAAGAGGGACUGUCAAGGUUUCUGGUGAAAUGAUUUGGGUCACUUGGAUUUUCUGUUAAGAUUUGACAAGGAGGAGAAAUAAAAAUAAAAAUUGUGGAAAACCUGACUAUAAUUGGCAUUACUAUAAUAUGCGACUUGUAAAUCACCGGGAACUGGAGUAAUAGGAAGUACAAUUCAUAGAUAUAAAUGAACUUUUUUUUUGCUUAGGAAUGAUAAAAAUAUAAGUAGGCUGGUUUUCUAAGUGAUUGACGUGAGUUGGGUUGUUAGUAAUUGGUCCUUUAUCUCGCCCAAUUAUUUCCUGGAUUUGCUGUUAUUUUUAUCAUAAGCUAUUUAUUUGGAAGGAAAUCUCCUUGUGAUAAGCUAUCAACUAAUUCCAUUCUUUACAUUUUAUUAGAGGGUGGACGCAUCAACAAAUUGGAAGGAGUAUUCGAGUCCUGAUGGAAGAAAGUGUGUCCUGGUUCUGUUAAUUUGUCUUUUUCUUCUGUUUUUAAUGCUUGGUGCUAAUUUUUCUUUUAUUUUAUGAAAAAUCUCUAGGUAUUACUACAACAAGAUCACUAAGGAAUCAAAGUGGUUAAUUCCUGAGGAACUGAAGGUUUACACCAUUGCAAACAAUGUCGUUUUAAAUAGUCUGAGUCAUUUUAUGCCACACAUUUCUGUACUCACAUUUAUUUUCUGUAUUUGUGCUUUGCUUCAAGUUGGCCCGUGAGCAAGUUGAAAAGGCAAUGAUCAAUGGAGCACUUCCUGAGGCAGUACUGAAUCCCCGUACUCAACCUUCUGCAACUUCUGUUUCUGAAGCAAUGCCUAGUGCAGAUAAUUCAUCUUUACCUGGUCAAGGUGAACCAUCAAGUCCUGUUCCUGUUGCUCCAGUUGUUACUACAUCCCCAAGUAAUCUGCAGUCUGAGAUAGCUCCCGGAUCAUGUGGCUCUCCUUCUACAAGCGCUGUAACUGGAACAAAAGUGGAUGAACCUGAGGCACCACCCGUAAAUACUAUCAAUCCAUCAGAUGCUAGUGUGGGAAGUGAUAGAGCUAUUGUUUCUGAUAUUAACACUAGUGUAACACCAAUGUAUUCCCUAUUCUGCCAGUUUAAUUUUCAUUCUUUGAUUUCAUUUUUGUCUGGUGGGACGUAAUUUUAUUUGUUUCUGGUAAAAUGUUGUAGGAAUGACACCAACAACUUUGCAGCUCAAGAUACGGUAGGUUCUGCAGAUGGAGUUCCAGGAGAAGAUAAAGACGUAUGCUUCUCUCAUUGAAGUCUUAAUAAUUGUAUUGGACGAGUUUUGCUUCUGGUGGUUAGCAAGCUGAUUAAAUCUUUACUUUUGUAGGAUGGAAAAAUUGAUUCAACAGGGGAGAACGUUAAUGAAGUGGCCUCUGAAACAAAGACAGUUGAGCCAGAAUCCUUAGUUUAUGCGAAUAAGAUGGUAUGAGAAUGAAAUAUCAGUAUAACAACUCUCUCUCUCUCUCUAUAUAUAUAUAUAUAUGCGUGUGUGUUCCUGGGCAUUGAGCAUAUGCUAUAUUUCCCUUUCAGGAAGCUAAAGAUGCAUUCAAAUCACUCUUGGAAUCUGUAAAUGUUGGACCGGACUGGAGUUGGGAUCGGGUAUAGUGAUCUCAAUUCAUUGAUAUAUUUUAUUUGUGUUAUAACAUUUUUUUACUUUUUGAAUGUUUCUUUUGUUUAUUUGAUUUGCUUGAGUUGAUGUUCAGGCUAUGCGAUUAAUAAUUAAUGACAAAAGGUAUGGUGCCUUAAAAUCUCUCGGAGAAAGGAAGCAAGCUUUCAAUGAGGUAAUUCAUAUGUAACCACGGAUAGAUUUCUUACUCCCUUUACUCUUAUCUCUUAUUUAGUUUUUCCGCUUGGAUGCACUUUACUUUAGCUCAAAUAUAUUAUCUGUCACAGCUACAUCACUUUUAUUUGUAAAUCGGCGAUCUUACAAUUUUAGUCGAUAAUUUGUAAUGGCUAAUGUGCUGCAUCGUUAACUUAACACCACUGUUUUUUAUUUUCAGUACUUAAGUCAAAGGAAAAAACAGGAAGCAGAAGAAAAGCGUAUGAAGCACAAAAAAGCACGGGAAGACUUUAGAAAAAUGUUGGAAGUAUGUUCAUCUGCUUCAUAAUUUCUUUAUAACAAUGGAUAUGUCAUUUCCUUUGAUUGUGCAAUUUUUUGUGCUAAUAUAUACAAUUAUUUUCCAGGAGUCCACGGAGUUGACUUCAUCCACAAGAUUCAGGUUUCUUUUUUAUUUCAUGAUAUUUGAAUUUUAUUUUUUUCUCUCAACUUAGAUUGGCCAAGUCUUUCAAUCAAUUUAUUUGGGAUCUUGCUAUUGAUUUUUAUUUGGAAAUCAACUCAGCAAAGCAGUAGCUAUUUUUGAAAAUGAUGAACGCUUCAAGGCCGUCGAGCGAGAUAGAGAUCGCAAGGAUAUGUUUGAUAGCUUCUUGGAGGAACUUAUGAACAAGGUGCAUUCUACUAUAUAAUCUUUCAGCCAUUUAAUUCUAUGCUGUAGCUAAAUUAUGUUAUGGACCUCUAUGUAAAGUCUUUUUUAGUAGUAAAAUUUGGGAAUCUAGAUAUAAUGUAUAAUUGUAUAGAAACAUUGUCGAACAUUUUUAAUGGAUAAGGAACCAUGAUGGAGGUUUUUCAAGGUUGUAUUUAAUGCAUUAAAAAAAUUGCAAAUCUUUUAAAUGCUUUUAGUGAAUAUCAACCUCUGGUAUUUUCGUUAGGAACGGGCUAAGGCACUGGAGGAACGGAAGCGAAAUACAGUGGAAUAUAGGAAAUUUUUGGAAUCUUGUGACUUUAUAAAGGUAAAUGUUUUUUUUUAUUCAUUAUGUUUCUAAAUGUCUUAUGUUAGAAAUUGUAUUGAUGCAUUCAUCACCUUCUCCAUAGGCUAAUACGCAGUGGCGAAAAGUUCAAGACCGCUUAGAGGCUGAUGAAAGAUGCUCUCGACUUGAGAAAAUUGAUCGCUUGGAAAUAUUCCAAGUAACUUUUUUUACUUCACAAUUAAAGCUGAAUAUUAUUGUGAUUCAACUUCUGUAAUAUUGAAAUUUUCAGCUAAUUUUAUUGAGAUGGGAAAAUAAAUUACAGAACCCUCAACACAAUCAAUUAUAUAUAUGUACACACAGACACAUGCAUAAACACACAUAUACAUACAAGGUGUACAAUACUUAAUAUUUGAAACUUUGUAUUAAGGAGACAAUGAAAACUAAUUAAAUAAAACAGCUAAUUAGAUGAUACUCUCCCUAUGUUGGAGAUACUUUCCAACAAAUCUAAUUUAUAUUUUACCUCUCAGGAUUAUUUACGUGAUUUAGAGAAGGAAGAGGAAGAGCAGAAGAAGAUACAGAAGGUGCUGUCAUGUUUAUGCCUUACAAGUGGUUGUAGGACUCUACCCCCUCCUUUAUUUUAUUGCAUAAUCUCAUCUUUGUUCUCAAACAAAAUAGGAAGAAUUGAGAAAGACGGAACGUAAAAACCGUGAUGAAUUCCGCAAAUUGAUGGAUGAACAUAUUGCUUCAGGCAUUCUCACAGCAAAAACUCACUGGCGUGAUUAUCAUUUCAAGGUUAACUGUCCAUUUCUAUGGUUAUUCAUCUUUUUGUUUAUGUUUUCUGUAUUCUGUUAGACUUUCUGCUUUCUUUCAUAAUGUUAUUACCUUGUUUUAAUUUUCUGAUUUGUUGCCUUGGACACUUGGAUAAACUAUUUUACAGUGAAAACAAUGAUGAGUGUGUUUCGUGGUCUUGUAGGUGAAAGAUUUACCAGCCUAUCUAGCAGUGGCGUCAAACACCUCAGGUUCAACUCCAAAAGAAUUGUUUGAAGAUGUUGCUGAAGAGCUAGAGAAACAAGUGAGUAUGCUCUACUGUCUUUACGGUUGGUUUCGAACCAUCCGAGUAUCCUUUUUUUCUUCCCGCUCACGAUUAUUUUUCAAAAGCCAUAUUUUGUCUCUUUAGAUGCUCUUGGGAGCAACUUAAAUUUCAAUUUAGUGUGAAGCCAAGAUAAAGAAUCAUUAUUUGUUGAUACUUUUAAUUUCUCUUUAAAUCAUGAGGCAUUCAAUGACUUUAGUUAGAAGCACACUCACAAGAAUUUAUACCAACCUAAAUGUAUUUAAGGUAUCCCAUAACAAUAAAAAAUCAAUUUGGGUUCAAAUGAUAAAUUUAAUUAUGCAUAUUUUACUAUAUUGAGAUAGCGUUGCUCCUCAACUCACGUGAGCUGGACAACUUUUACAUUUAUGCAUCCUUAAAAACUUUGGAAUUGAAAAAAAAAGUUCUCAUAAAAUCCAAAUCUUCCUUCUUAUUUAUGUUACAGUAUGUUGAAGAAAAGAGUCAAAUAAAAGAUGCAGUGAAGUUGGCAAAGGUAUGAUGAGUUGAUCCUUUGUGGUUUCUGUUUAAAAAUCCUCUUCUGAUAUAUACAAUGUUAUCAUACUUCUCAGAUUACAUUGUUGACAACCUGGACUUUUGAAGACUUCAAAUCAGCUUUAUCAGAACACAUUAGCUCUCCUUCUACAUCUGAUUCCAACUUAAAGGUAGGUACAGGAGUGACAAAUACAAGCAUACACAGGUCUUGGGUUUUUUUUAUUUAUAUCUUGGUACCAUUUGCAAACUUGUGUUGUGCAAUGAAAGGCGUCUCAAGCUUUUCUUAUAUUGCUAGUUUUCCUCACAGUUAUAGCUAAAGAAGUUUGUUUCUUUGCUAAAUGAUAUCCCUUUUCCAUGUCUGGUCUGAAUAUGUGCUAUUCUGCAGUUAGUGUUUGAAGAGCUACUAGAACGUGCUAAGGAGAAGGAGGAGAAGGAAGCUAAGAAGCGUAAACGUCUUGCAGAUGAUUUCUUUCGUCUACUAUUUUCUAUCAAGGUGGGGUAUUGUGGUCAUUAACUAAUAAGUUUUUUCAUGUGGUAGUUAUUGGGAAAUAAAUAUCUUAACUCUUUUGCUUAAUUGUUGCAGGACAUUACCGAGUCUUCAAAGUGGGAAGACUCGGAGCCACUUCUUGAAGAUAGCCAAGAGUUCAGGUCUGAAUUACGAUUAUUUUAAGCAUGAAACAUAAAUGUUUGUUUCCUCUUUUAUUAAUGAUUCCAGGAAGAGGUUAAAAGUUUGAGGUCAUAUUUAAUAUAUAAGUGAAAUCAUAAUAUUACUACUAUCAUCAAAUUGCAUCAUAGCACAUUCCAGAAGUAAAGUUAUUGUUUCUAACACUACAAAUAACUAUAGUCUAUCCUAUGUUUUAAUAGUGUCCUAGUAAGUCGCUGCUAUGGUGGUCUUUGUGGCGUUGAGUUUCACUGCCGCAGCUGCUAUUAUAGUGUAAAUAGUGGUUGUUUGCACGCUCCAAGGAAGCGUUUAUGAAAGCAUUUGAAACCCAAAUAUACCCCUCACAAUUUUAGGGUCUGAGGUGGGAUUGGGUGUAGUUUAGGGUUUUCAGGGUAAAAAAACAAGGGUUUCUAAGUUAAACACCCCCAAAUCUCUAUUUCUUUAGUUCGUAAGUGCCUGCUGUCACUUGUACUUCAUAGUCCAUACCCAUCCAACCUUCGAGCUUUCCAGCGACCUUCCAACAACUUCUCUCCGGCGACAUUCAUCUGUUUCCCUAUUGGUUCUCAUUGUCCUGCAGAUUUUUCAUGUCAUUGAUGCUUAAUCUUGUCUGUUUCUUUAAAUGAAAUUCACCAUGAACAAAAACAAACCAAAUAGAGCAAGGUUUCAUAAAUUAUACCUCAAUAAUGUCUACACCCAAGGAUUGAUUACAGAGGUUUAGCGCCCCAUUGAUAUGUGAGAACUCAUUGAGUUACUAAAUUGCAAAAGAAAGAAAAGAAGAAAACUUCAAGAUAAAUUAUGCAAGCCAAGAAACUCUUCAAUUCUUCCCAUCUCCAACAAAUGUGGUAGAGCAGACAAUGUUGUUAAGUAUUGUUGGGAAGGACUCUAGAAUUGUUGGUGGCUGAAGGUGGGGCAUAUGCAUUGAUGAAAAUUGGUGAGGGAUAUGGGACCGCAAGCAGACAACGAAGAUGAGCAGAGGAUGAUGAGCUCGUAGCAGAGGCAACAAGACACAAACCUAAGCUCCUAGUGACAGGAGACAUGGUCAGACUGUAGGGUGACAGGUAAAUGGAGUUAAUAUUUUUAAAGUGUUGUCAAAUAGCAGCUAUAGCAGCACUAUAGCAUUGUAGCGUAGCGGAAUUUGAACAAACCCCUAUUUUCCGCAAUGACAACGUUGGCCCUUCUGCAGAAAAACAGCUGAAAUAAAGCCAAACUGCAGAAAAGCAGACACAAAUUUAGCCUGUGGAAAGAUAGGCUGAAAUGAAGCCAUUUUGUAGAAAAGCUGGUUACAUGUGGAAAGACAGGUAAAUGGAGUUAAUAUUUUUAAAGUGUUGUCAAAUAGCAGCUAUAGCGGCCCUAGUAGUGUAGCGUAACAGAAUUUGAACAAACCUCUAUUUUCCGAAAUUGACAACGUUGGCCCUUCUGCAGAAAAACAGCUGAAAUAAAGCCAAACUGCAGAAAAGCGGACACCAAUUUAGCCUGUGGAAAGAUAGGCUGAAAUGAAGCCAUUUUGUAGAAAAGCUGGUUGAAACAGUUUCAAUAGACAUAAUGAAGCUGAAACAACUGCAACAAUGCACAACAAAAUUGAGACUAAAACUUAAUGUGUUAAAACGCGCAAAGAUGAGAUUAGUGCACAAAAAACGAGUGGUAAUUGAGAGUCAUGAAGUUGAGACAAUGGAACUGAGAAACUAUUUUCAUGGUGUUGGAUACCAUGUUGAAAUUGUACGGAUUUUUGGUAGAGAAGGAACACAAUAACCACCACUACCAAAGUCUUUUCCGACUAGAUUGGAUUGAAUACAUGAAUUAGAUGACGGCAUAAUGUCCAUUCAAUGAUAGGACAUAUAAUCUAAACCACUCGUAUUUGUUUGACCUAUAGUCUUCCUUGGUCUCCCCCUAUCUGUAACCUUGCAAAAACCGGAUUUGACCUGUCGAUUUGACUAGUUCAACAGUGAAUUUAACCUAUGGUUGGUCAGAUCAAGGGUGUGAGCUGCGGAAGUUACUAAACCAGAGUAUGUAUGGUACAAAACUUGACUAAUUUGUUAACUGUUAAAAAACUCCAAAAGUUGUCUGGACUAGAAUCGAACCGUGGUUCUCAGCGUCUCGCGCCGUGUUAAACCACUGGGCCGUAGUUAUCGUUUAGUAUAUAUGCACUAUUUUUAAAAUACACACACACACCCCUUAAUGAAAUACCAAAAAAAUCAGUUUUACUACUGCUAAGAGAAUUUAACAUUAUUAUAUGACAUGAAAGUAUAAUAAUUUUUUAUCUCAAUUUUGAAAAUUUAUAAUACAGAAAUACUCACACUCUGGUGCUUCUAUGGGUCCUGCCGAAAACAUGCUUAAACCACCUACGACAAGACACUACCUCCUGGUAGGAAAGAAAUGUUUAAAUAUUAUUUGUAGGGCCUAUAAGAUACAAGUGACUAUAUGUUUUGGUAGUCCGUGGUUGUGCACCGGCAUUGGCAAAUAGAGAAAAUAGGAAAGGACAUUAGGUAAAAACUAUUAAUUGCAUGUAAUAAUGCUGAUUUUACUGAAUAAAACAACGAAUGAAAUAAUACGUAAUUAUCCUUAAUUCUUAUGCAUAUAUUUCCUCCUUCGCCAGACCUUUUAGUAUUAGCCAAAGGGAGUAAUAAAGCAGUAUUCAUGGUAAAUUGGUAGUGGAUAGUGAAGUUCCAACACUUCAUUACUUCUGUGAUUGAUAUCCAAUUUUUCAAUGAUAAAACCAUGAGUAUUUGAUUGCAAAAAAAUUGUGCUACUGUAGUGCUGUAAUGUUGUUUCCACCGUUGUCACAUUGUGGCCAUAACACCACUAUGGUGCGGCAUUAAUAGGACAGCUGCCACUCAAGGGUCAUCACUUUGCAGCUUCUUUUAUGGUGGACAGUGCAGUAACGACAAAAAAGAGUGAGUAGUAUGACCCACACAAUAACUCCAAAAAGGUGAGUAGCAUGUCCCGAUUCAGAAACAGAUUCAAUGCAGUAAAAAAUUCUUUCAAAUCGGUCAAUCUUCACAUCUUGAUUUUGGCGAAUCGAAACCAGAAAUCUCAACCUCUGGUCUUUGUCAAUGGCUCAGAUUUGACUGUAGUGACUGCUGACUUCAUCAAAUCCAUUUCCCUUAGAAACUAAGUGCUCAUGAGUGAAAAAAUAAAGCCUACAUCCAAAGCUGUAGCCUCAUACAUUGCUUUCUGCCUUUAUCACACUCUAGACUCUCUGUCAUCUCUCUCUGUUCUGAACUCCUAUUUUCGAUGAUCGUCUAUGGCGAACAAUCAUCUUGUUUUCUUUUGCUCUUUGUUUCACAUCCUCUUGUCAUUGCAGUCAUUUUCCAAUGUUCUUGUCACAUUGUUAGCCUUUUAUUUAUUAUUUUCUGAAUUUGUUUGGUGUGUGGGUUGCUAAUGUGCUCCCACAAGAUUUAAGGAGUACAUUAGCAACAUACGCCUGUUUAUUUGGAGAAAAAACCAUUUAUUUUUCUAGAAGGUAAUUAAAUUUAUGGAUAUCAAUGUAAUUUCCAGAUUAAAUUUUCUAUACUCUUGCCUUUUUCUCCCUCUUUCAUUCAACUGAUCAGGUGGAUUUUUGGCUAGCUACCGUGAUCUGCUAUCCGCCAUUGGUCUCAGCCCUUUGCUUCAGAUCCUGCUAAUUCCAGCAACCGAUAAUAUUUCUUUGCCUAGACUGUCCUUUCCCCGCCAAUCCUGCACUUCUACUAGCAAGGUCCUGCUGGUGGUGUUUGGCUUUGUUUCAAUGGAAGCACCAUGCCUGCCUGCUCCCUUUUGCAGUCACCUGUUGUGGUAGCAUCUGCAUUCAUAGUCAAAUAGUCUUUGUCACCAUCCUAACAAUUACUACAGGCAAAAUAACUACCAUUUGGUUGGCAGGCCUUCUGUUUAUGCUAAAUCCUAUCAACCGAUAGCUAUUUUCAGCCAAGACUGCCCGUUUCCAAAGCCCAUUAUUUUACCUGCCAUGGUUGUUCGGCUUUAUUUUGUUGGCAACUUUCUUUCUAGAUUUGCACUUUUUUUCUAUUAUCACUGUGGAAUAUCCUUCUGUUUUUAUGGUAUUGAUUUUUAAUAAUUUUUAUAUGCUUUUUUUUGGCAUAAGCUUUUAAAACUUGUUAUCGGUAAAUUAAAUUUUUCAAUAAUGUUUUUUUCUUUUCUUCUGGCAUUGACAAUGGUUUCCUACAUCAACAUUUUUUCAUUUGCUUGUUUGGAUAUGCUUACAAGUUUGUUGUAAGUAAUUUUAAGAUGUUUGUAAGACAUUGACUAAUAUGAAGAUUAUUGAGUAUUGAUACUUUGUGGUAUAAAAUUUUAAAACAUAGGGUUAUUUAUUGAGUUUAAAGGUAAAUGUCAAAGUACUUUUAUGGGUUUUGAACUUUAUUGUGUGUAUUAUAAACUAAUUUUAUUGUAUCAGUCGUCUAUCACAUAGUAGUUACUCUUCAAUUUGCUAUACCGCUAUAAUAUUUUUGGGGUUGGCUGUUUCAUAAUGUUCUUUGGGAUUGGCUGCUAUGAAUAAACCUAUAUAUAUCUUGAAACAAUAUCUUAAUAUAAUCAUGUUCCUGAUUUUACUUUUUACUGGUUGUAAUUUUUUUCUAGAUCUAUUGGAGACGCGAGCCUUUGCAAGCAAAUGUUUGAGGAGUAUGUUGCACAACUGAGAGAGGAGGCAAAGGAGAAUGAGCGGAAACGGAAAGAGGAAAGGGUAUGGAUUCUGCUCAUUUCAUCCAUAUUUGAGAAUUGAGAUUUAUGCUUCUCAUUCAUUAUCUUUUUAACAUGAAAUACACACAAUAUUUAUAUGAAGUGCAAAUUCAUUGUGGAUAAUCAGCCAGCUUGUCCAUUGCUUUCUAAUUACAAUGACUACAAAAACUAUUUUCUUUAUUAAGACCAAUUUAUGCAUUUUCUGUCUCGACAUCUUAAUUUUUGCUGAAUAUCUUUUACUUUCAAGGCGUCAAAUUUUUCUAUUAAUGCAUACUUGUUAGUAUAUUUUGCAGUGUUUGUAUUAUCUAUGGUAAAAAAAAAAGGCUUUCAAUUUGUAGCUAAUAAUUUCAUAAAUAUAAUAUUGUGCAGGCAAAGAAGGAUAAAGAUAGGGAGGAAAGAGAAAGAAGGAAAUCGAAGCAAAGAAGGGAAAAAGAGGGAGGGCGUGAAAGAUGGAAAGAGGAGACACAUAAGAGGGAUAGAACAGACAGUGACGGUCUGGACUUUAAUGAGAUCCAAACGUCCAAAGAAAACAGAAGGAGUGACGAUGACAACAGAAAACAACGGAAGCAGCAUCAAAGUCCGGAAGAAACUGAUAAAGAGAGGACUAAGAAAUCUCACGGUCACAGUAGCGACCGCAAGAAAUCCAGACGGGUAUGCAGAUUAAUCACUUUGCUGUUUUUCACCAAUGUUCAUUUUUUUUGUUUUGUCUGAAAUCAAUUAGGGUUUCACUGAUUGAUUAUGUUUAUAUUUAUUGUUCUGGGAUAAAUGGAGCAGCAUGGUUCUGGUCACGAAUCUGACGAAGGCCGGCACAAGAGACACAGGAGAGAGCACCGUGAUUCUCAUAGAGAAGGUGAGCUGCUUGAAGAUGGAGAAUUUGGUGGUGAUGUGGUUAUGGAUAGAUGGUAAUCAUCAUGUCUAUUAUAACUUCAGUGAGUACCUUCUGUUUAACUCAAUAUGUACUAAUUUGGAACAAAAUAUAAAUUAUCAAAAUAUAAUUUUUUUCCAGAUAACUUCCUUGUAUUGUGCAAUGUUUUACAUCGAAGAAUUUGGUUACUAGAAAGAAAGGUUAAGUUCUUUCAUGAGGCCAAGUUUGUGGCAACUAACAUUAGUAUAAUACCAUUUUUUAUUUUAAAAUAUACUCUUCACUACUAUCGAUAUUCUAAUUAAGUAAAAUGGGUAAAGUAUUUUAGUUCUUGUGGCCAUGGUAAAUGCUGCCUAUCCAAUUUUCCUGUUGGUGCAUGUUCAAUAUCAUUUUAGUUUAGCACAUAAUCAUUUUUUUGUUUGUCAUGUGCCUAUCCAGUGUUUCAAGUACAAACUGGAUUUAACAUGAACCGGAUUCGGGCUACUUCGUAUGGUUUGGGAUGUCACCAAUUUUGGGGACAUGUUAAGAAGUUAAGUUAUAUUUUUUGAUUGAAAAAUUCAACUAUUAAGAUUUAAGUAAGGUCAGUUUAUUAUAUUAGUGGUAUAUAUUUUCAUUAAAAUUUUCAUAUAUUAAAUUAAAUAUUACUUUUACAUUUUAAUUUUUAAGAAUACACAUGUAUGUAUAAAAUAAAUAUAAUAUUUUCUUCACACCAAAAAGAGUAUGAAUGGUUUAAUAUUUAAUGCAUAUGUCAUCGUGCAAAUGGAUAAAAAAAUUAGAUGAAAAUGGGCUUGGUGAAUGCAUUACAUGUACAUUUCUUUAGAUUCAUUUUAAGAAAAGAAAAAAAAACUUUUUCUUUAGAUUCAUUUUAAGAAGAAAAAAAACUAUUUCUUUAGAUUCAUUAGUUGAUUUAUAUCUAAAGUGGUUUCUUCUCACGCCACCUAUAUUAUUAAAUACAUGUUUGAAUCGAUCAAUAAAAUAUACUUUAGGACUAAUAAAUCCGUACAAAAAAUUGGGCUCUUUUGAGAAAACAUGGGGUACAAAAAUUCACUAUGUCUAAAUAUCUGUAUUUAAGUCCAUUUAUAUUCACAUUUUUUUGAAGCCUAAUAUCAUCAAUACUGAUCUUUGACCAAAAAAAUAAUACUGGUCUUAUAUAAUGGAAGAACUUUUCCACUCCCAACAAUGACAAAUUAUUUAAUCUAAAAAUACACUUAGGACCCAAUUUGAGAGUUUAGGAGGACAUUGGAAAAAGGGUUCGAGGAUAAGAGAAACUGAAAGAAUGAUAGUCCACUAACUUGAAUACAAUUUUUUUAAAUAUGGUGAACUGAAAAAAUGUAUUGGAAGAGAAUUUUAGAAGAUUUAAAUGAAUUCUUUUAAUAUUUUUUUUAUCUCUUCAUAAAUAAUCUUAAAAUUGAAAUAUAUUAAUUAUAUGUAUUCUUUUAUCAAUUUUUAUAAAAACAAACUCAAAUAAAGUAGAAGAUUUAUCUUUCUUUCAAUUUUCUUUUCCCAAAACCCUUUUAUUUCAUGUAUGGUUUUUCAAAAGUGUGGGGUGAGAAAAGUUUGUCCAGUUAUAUAAUAAUCCAGCACGUUAAGGUUUCUAAAAAGUUUAACAAGCAUUUAAGGUUUCUAAAAGGGUUAACAAAGUCAACUGCAUUCAUAUUUAAAAUAUGGUCUUCCUGUUGACAAGAAACUCGUGAUGAAUUCACUUAUAUAAAAAGAAAAUAAACUUGUGGUGAUACAAAGAUAGAUACUGGGUUAGCUAGAUUGUCACUAGGAAUGCAAAAGCUGAAUAAUAAAUAGAAAAUUUCUUCCUUGCUUUCCGUUCUCAACUUUACUUUUGCUUCCUUUAAUUAAGUCAUCCAACCCCACCUACAGCAACCAUAUACCAAAUGCGAAAAUAACUGUCCACCAUUUGCAUCCUCUCAUUCACCUUUAGGCAUGCCAUAUAUUAUUUCAUGACCAACUUGAAAAAUCACUAUGAUCAAUUUUGCAUUGCAUAGUUGUUUACGCAUGUUCAUCCAUUCAUGAUUGUUUUGUCAUGAUUAAUAAUUAUUAAAUUCAAGUUAUGGCUAUUAUGCAAAUCUUUCUUAAUCUUGAAAGAAACAAAAUUAAAUUAUUAACUAUAAUCAAACGCCUAUGCAUAACACGAGCAAUAUUUUUUUUGUUCUUCUAAGGUUAUAUUUGAUAUCAUGGUGGUUCACUAUAAUUAUGAAAAACUAUUAUCAACAUGCAUAGGGGAUGAUUUCUUAACAUUGACUCAAAUUAAUUAAAUUCACUUCUAUAUUAGUAAGAGAAUACAUCAACACUUUAGUUCUCAAGAAUGCAAUAAAACUAUUUUGAAGAAAAAUAUUGAGUUAAAUAAGUUUUUUAUUUUUUUAUAAAACUUUAAAGUUUUUAUUUUAGUCUCUAUAAAAAAAAUCAUAUUUUUUAGUCUUUACAAAAUUAUUAUGCAAAUAAUUUUAAUCUAUUUCGAAGUCUAUAUUUUUAAUAUUCUUAUCUUGAACAUAUGACAUUUAAAAAAAUUAUAUUUGAAUGAUUCCAAUUUAAAAAAAAUAUAAAUUUGUGUGGAUGAAUUUUUAAUAAUGUUCUAAACAUGCUUGCAAAAAUCAUUCUAAAAUUUAAAAGUUGAAUGAUGUUUCUUUUUAGGCAGGACUAAGCACAACUUGUAAAAUAAUUUUGUAGAGACUACAAAAUGUGAUCUUUUUAUAGAGACUAAAAAAUAAAAUUUUAUAAAGACUAAAAAUUUAUUUAACUCAAAAAUAUUUGAUAGAGUAAUAUUGUGAUAUGUUAAUCUUUAAAAGAUCAAUUUUAAAGUUUUCCUCUUUAUAUUAUGUUAGAAUUUCAUUUUUUUAAAUCUCAAUCAACUUAUAUUGAGUCUGUUUGUUUAAUUUUUUAUUUAAAUAAUUUGUAUAGCAUUAUAUCUUUUUGUUAUAAUAUUUUUUUUAAAAAAAUAAAAAUAAAGCUUUAAAUGAAAAAUUGGUUUAAAUAGUUCAUUUUAAAAUAUGAUUUUAAGUAUUUCAUUUAUUUUCUCCAAUUUUUUUUGGAUAGUAAAAUUUUAAAAAAUAAUUAAAAUAAAAAACUAUUUUGAAAAGCUCUUCAUAAAAAUCAUUUUUGAAAUAUAUUUUUUUCUUAAAAAAAUGUGAUUUUUAUCAUGUUAAAAUCUCUAAUAAUAAAUAUCUAAAUGUCAAUAUUUUUUUUAAUUGAUAACAAAUAAAUCAAAAAAAUUAUACCAUUUUUAAAUAAAUUUCUAUAAAAAUAAUUUUUAAAAAUAUAAAAUCAAAAUCACUUUUUUAAAAUCUUAAACAACGCACUUAUUAUAUUCCAAAGGAAAUCUCUGACCAAUGUUUUUGUUCACGUUGCAGAUAUUGGUUGGUCUAGUUGGUAAAAUUUUAACUAUAUUUUAUUAAGAUUUAAGUUCGAAUUUUGUUCUUAUUGUGAGCACUCACUUGGUACUUGGUAGAUUAUAUGUAAGAAUGUUUCUAAUAAGUCUUAGAAUCCAACUCACAUAAAUUUAUUUAUCAAAAAAAAAAAAAUGUUUAUGUUAAAAGUAUUAUUUUUUUUUCACAAUAUUAUAGGACCUAAGCAAAGCAUAUAUCCUAAUUUUUAAAAAUAAAUUAAAUUAAAAUGAAAUUUUUACGUUUUCUUAAUAUGCUUUAAUAACUUUUUUUGUCCUUAUAAUUAUAAAAAAUUAAGAUGGAAUAAAUUAAACUAUAUACAAAUAAAAACUCUCAAUAUUCUUAUCCCAGUUUCUCGUAGCAAAUAAACCAUAAUCAUUGUCAUAAAUUUAAGAAGUUAUGCUGAAUGACAAUAUUAAUGUGUAUAUUACUGUAUAUUUUUUUAUGAAAAAUAUAUAUAUUGAAUUUUUUAAUUUAUAUUCAAUAUCAGAUCAUAUAACUAUUGAAUGACAUAUAUAAAUGAUUAAUUUCUAUCCGCUAGUUUUGCCAACCAGCUUCAAUAAUUAAGUUCGUGUAUAAAAAACAUAGUUUCGUGUAUAUCUUUGUACUUACGCUUUUAAACAGUACCAGUACAUGAUAACAUGGUCGAUUCCAUGGUUGACCAAAAAAAUAUGGUCGAGUCCACGUAUUAAACUAAACAUAUGAAAAAGCUCCACCACAAUAAUCUUGUGAUUUUCUGCGUGAGAAUUUAUAUGCAUCCUUCAUUUAUUCGUCAAAAGAAAAUUAUAUGCAUCCUUCGUUUUUCUUUUGAAAAGUUUGGGAAUAUGUACGUGAGACAUGCGACUCUAUCACUAAUUUAUUAAUUACUUAUGCACCAUCAUUUUAAAAUAUGAUUUUAAGUAUUUCAUUUAUUUUCUCCAAUUUUUUUUGGAUAGUAAAAUUUUAAAAAAUAAUUAAAAUAAAAAACUAUUUUGAAAAGCUCUUCAUAAAAAUCAUUUUUGAAAUAUAUUUUUUUCUUAAAAAAAUGUGAUUUUUAUCAUGUUAAAAUCUCUAAUAAUAAAUAUCUAAAUGUCAAUAUUUUUUUUAAUUGAUAACAAAUAAAUCAAAAAAAUUAUACCAUUUUUAAAUAAAUUUCUAUAAAAAUAAUUUUUAAAAAUAUAAAAUCAAAAUCACUUUUUUAAAAUCUUAAACAACGCACUUAUUAUAUUCCAAAGGAAAUCUCUGACCAAUGUUUUUGUUCACGUUGCAGAUAUUGGUUGGUCUAGUUGGUAAAAUUUUAACUAUAUUUUAUUAAGAUUUAAGUUCGAAUUUUGUUCUUAUUGUGAGCACUCACUUGGUACUUGGUAGAUUAUAUGUAAGAAUGUUUCUAAUAAGUCUUAGAAUCCAACUCACAUAAAUUUAUUUAUCAAAAAAAAAAAAAUGUUUAUGUUAAAAGUAUUAUUUUUUUUUCACAAUAUUAUAGGACCUAAGCAAAGCAUAUAUCCUAAUUUUUAAAAAUAAAUUAAAUUAAAAUGAAAUUUUUACGUUUUCUUAAUAUGCUUUAAUAACUUUUUUUGUCCUUAUAAUUAUAAAAAAUUAAGAUGGAAUAAAUUAAACUAUAUACAAAUAAAAACUCUCAAUAUUCUUAUCCCAGUUUCUCGUAGCAAAUAAACCAUAAUCAUUGUCAUAAAUUUAAGAAGUUAUGCUGAAUGACAAUAUUAAUGUGUAUAUUACUGUAUAUUUUUUUAUGAAAAAUAUAUAUAUUGAAUUUUUUAAUUUAUAUUCAAUAUCAGAUCAUAUAACUAUUGAAUGACAUAUAUAAAUGAUUAAUUUCUAUCCGCUAGUUUUGCCAACCAGCUUCAAUAAUUAAGUUCGUGUAUAAAAAACAUAGUUUCGUGUAUAUCUUUGUACUUACGCUUUUAAACAGUACCAGUACAUGAUAACAUGGUCGAUUCCAUGGUUGACCAAAAAAAUAUGGUCGAGUCCACGUAUUAAACUAAACAUAUGAAAAAGCUCCACCACAAUAAUCUUGUGAUUUUCUGCGUGAGAAUUUAUAUGCAUCCUUCAUUUAUUCGUCAAAAGAAAAUUAUAUGCAUCCUUCGUUUUUCUUUUGAAAAGUUUGGGAAUAUGUACGUGAGACAUGCGACUCUAUCACUAAUUUAUUAAUUACUUAUGCACCAAUGAGAAUCUAAGUUUUGGAAUAUCUACUUUCACACUUAUUAAGAGAAAUGCUUAUAUUUAAUUUUCUUGAUUGUAUAUCAAACUCACAAAAUACCAGUGCAUUUGUCCAGAUUGUGUGGUUGAUUUAUAUAAAAUCGAUGUUAUUUAUAUAAUUUAAAGUGAAGUAAAUAAAACUUUAGUAUAAUUACAGAGAUAAAAUUUAUUAAAUUUUUAAUUUCAUAAUAAGUGAUAAUGUCUAUAUCAUAUAGGAUAGAUAUUUUAAAAAAAUUAAGUGAAAUUUUAUUUUAUGUAUAAUAUUUAUUUCAUAUUAUUGAUAAUCUAUCGUAUGAUAUGAUAGUUAUUUUAAAAUUUGUUCUAAAAAAAAUAUGUUCUUUGUAGAUAGACUAAUUAAUUUUAAAAUUUUUUAAUAAGUUGUUGUUAAUGAAUCAAAGAUAAAUUUUUUGAAGUUGUGCAUCAAAUAAAUUGAAUUUUCAAAAGUGAUAUUUUCUAUUGUAAAACUUUUUAUUUAUUUAUUUAUUUAUUUAUUUAUUUAUUAUUUAACAAGUAUUUUUUAAGAUACUUAUAAACAUGACUCAUUAUCUCUAUUCACUUAUUUAUCUAUUUGCAAUAAAUUUUAACUAUUUAUUAUUUCAAUUCACUCAUUUAUCUCCCUGCCAUAAAUUUGUAGGUAUAAUUUUGUACUCCCUAACAAAGCACUAUCUAUAUAAAGGGUCCCAUAGUCCUAUUCUUGCUGCAUCGGAAAGUAAUUGGCAAUUAUAGAAAGCAAAGAGUUAAUUAAAUGUUGUCUAAGGCCAGAACCCCCCUUUGCUUGCUAGUGUUCUUCUUCCUCUUCUUAACCUUCACAUAUGCAGCAAGACUUGCUCCUGUAUCUUCCCCUAUCAUUUCAACCAAUACUCAACAUGAAGUGAGUACCUUCCGUUUAUAUUAUAUUAUAUUAUAUUUUCACUUUCGAAUUGAAGAAUUGCUCAAGUAAUACUCGAGUUCAAUUUUUGACUGAAACAACUAUUGAUCAAAUUUUAAACCCAUUUCGCUUGACUAAAAAAUAUUGUAUUUCUCUUUUUUAUUGUUCAAUUAAUAAUCUUCUUCUACUAUGUGUUAAUUGAAGGUCUUGGAAGAUGUGAAGGUCGACAUAGAGGAGAAUUGUGAGGAUAUUAGUGAAGAUGAUUGUUUGAUGAGAAGAACACUUGUAGCUCACACGGAUUAUAUCUAUACGCAGAAGCAAAAACCAUAGAUCCAAAUAUGGUUUUCUACACUUUGUUGUUGUAAUUUUAUUUUUAUGUAUAAGCUAUAGUUUUCAUAUGUAAAUUAAUUUUGACAUUUGAAGAGUUAGUUCACUCAGUUGUUGCGGACAGAAGAAUAUUAAAUAUGUAUUAACAUGUGUGUUUCUUUUUAUUUCAUAGUGUAAUAUGUAUACUAAUCUUGGUAGAUAAAUAUUUUGAUAUAUUUUAAUUUAUAGGAGUACAUAAUUAUGGAGUUCUUUUGUUUGAUAUAUUUUUUGGGGGUGGGGUUAUAGCAAUGCUUCCAGUUCGAUUGGUCAUAUCAAAGUAUAAGCUGUAAAGUUUCUAACUUGUUUGGCACAUAACCAACAAAAUGGACCCAAAGUCACUUGGUUACCAAAGUGAAAAAUAACUUUUGCAGGAGAAACAGGGAAAAGCUUAAAAUUUUAGAUUCUUCGCGUUCACGUUUUAUGAUGUUUCUUAGUUUUCCAUCGAUCUUAUAAUGUUUUGUUGUAUUUAAAUAACACAACUCAUAUAUUAUACACUCUUUAUAUCACUUUUAGUGACGGAUUCAUCUUAUGAUAAUUGGGACAGCUGCCCCCACUAUUUUUUUUUAUUUAAAAUUAUUACUUUUUGUUUAAUUUUCUAUUCCCAUUAAAAAAACUAAUUAUUGUUCCCACUUAAAAAAUAAUUAAAUCAUUUUAUUUGUGAAAAAAAAAUCAAAUAUACAAAUUUCUGAGAGAUAAUGUGUUGAAGAAUUGUUUGGUUUUGUACAUAGAGAAAAAUAUUUUUUUUAGUAUUUUUCAUAGUAAUGAAAGUGAAAAAUUGAUUUCAAUUUUCGAAGACACAAACAACUCUAAUAUGUAGAUAGUGAGGUGUCUUCAAUUUUUAAUUUAUAACGAUGAUAUUCUUAUUUUUGUAUGCAUUGGUGUAUUUUUUUAUAUAUAAAUAUUUAUAAUAUAUAAUUUUGUCUCUACCAAUUAAAAUGUCUGGAUCUGUCACUAAUCACAUCACAAAUAUAUCUUAGGUGUUACAUAAUUUUGUCUGUUUCCUUUUCAUUUUGGUGAAUGGGGUAUACAAAAUAUUUUCCAUAUAAUAAUGUCAAAAAAUGUUGGCCUAGAAGCAUGAUUUUGUUUGGCUAUAAAUGGUGGCGUGUCUUUUGGCUGACUCUGAAUCACUUUCAUAAAAUUAAAUUAAAAGAAUCCUUACUUAUUUUUUUAUUUUUUUUCAUGAGUGGAUUAAUUCGUUUGAGAAAAAUCUAAAUGAAGAACCUAACAAUAGAAGCUUCUGCAUGUGUGGAUUUGUAUUUUCUAUGGCACCUGGGUGACUUUUUUUGCCGUUGGGUUUUGAAAAUUCUUAUUCCAGUUAUUACUACUUUGACUUGGAAACCAGGUAGUAUUACUUGUGUGCUAAAUGCUAAUUAUCCACAAAUUUUAAUGUUUAAUUCAACUCAAAAUAUUGCUUAUAAAGUACACAUGUAGUUAGAGUUGAGAUGGGCUUAUACAAUCCAAAAUCUAUAAGGAUUUAAUUUAAGUGGUUGUUAAUAAACUCCCAAUAUUUAUAUAAAAAAUAUUAUUGAAAAUAAAACUUUAGGAAAAUUAUUAAUCUCAUUUUUCAGCUGAUCUGGCUUUAAUUUAACAUCGAUUUGUGGAUGGGCCUUACUCAAGUCAUGGCCCAUUAUGGGGGGUUUUCCCGCCAUAAGCUGCAAUUGCAAAACCGUUUCAUUUUCAGAUGACGACGACGAGAACAAUCCCAAUUGAAAUCAAUUUGGUAACAAAAUUUCAAAUGUUGCAAACCCUAGUAGUACCCUCGAGCCUACGCUUCGCGAAUCGAAUAUUCCUCCGAAGAUUCACCAUUGUUCGUGCAUUCUCUUCCUCCUCCAACUAUGUAGAUCAGUCACGUGGUGGCCUCCCUCGAUUCUACUCCGAAACUCUUCCUGCUUCAAAGGCAUUCUCUUCCCCUAUCAAACUCUUAACUCUUCCGUCUUUAUCAACUGUUUCAUAUUGCCACAGAAUUGUAUUCUAAAUGACAUUUCUAUGAAAUCUCACUUGUAUUUUACUAAUGAGUGUAGCUUCAAUUUGGAAUAAAUUUCAUAUGAUAACGCUCCUUCAUAAUUGAGCUUGGUUUUAAGGAAAGUUCUUAAUUUGGGUUUUGUCAAGUCAGCGUAAUAAGGCGACGAAGAUAGUUAAUUUUGUGUGUGUCUUGCUGUUACUGUUUCAGGGUAAUGUUAUUCGUGUAAAAGGUGAUGAAUUCUGGCACAUGACAAAAGUGUUGAGGUUGUCAACCAAUGAUAGGUAAUCCUUAUUGAUUAUCACUGCUAAUGAUUCAUGCAUUAGAGAAGAUAAUUUGAUUUUUUUGUCUGUGACAAUUAAUUUGGUCCUUUCAAUUCAACUAUUGAUUAUAAAAUCAAGGGUGGGUAUUCAAGGUACAUCAUGAUCAUAUUAAGUCACAUGUUUGUUAAAAUAACUCUUGAUUUUCUCAUUUACACUUUACUCACUUUAGAAGAGCCAAAUUCAGAUUUCUUAUCGUUGAUUUCUAAUAAACAUAAAGGCAUUCAGGAAAUCACAGUAGAUUUCAAUGUAGAACAUCUUGAGCCUGCAAGUUUUGUAUGUCUGUAACUAAAUACUUAUUGUUAUAUAUAUGGAAAUGGGAAGGUGGAAGGAGAGUUUGCUUUGGCAGUUGAUCUUCAAUAAUUUCUGUCAAAUAUUUUGAUUUUUAUUGUCAUGGUUGUUUCUUAAGUCACAAUUUUCUCUGUUUUAAGUCUACAUAAGUAAAAUUAACGAUAAUUGUUGCCCAUAUUCAAGUCUGUGUAUCAGUAUUCCUGUGAACUUCUUGCACUGUGAUCUGGAUUUUUUUUUGUUUAUGAUCCAAAUUCUGCUGUUCAAGGGUACAGCUCUUCAAUGGGAAAGGUGGUUUGGUAGAAGGAUGCAUACAGAACAUUGACCGAACUGGACUUGAUUUUGUUGCAUCGACUGAUCUGAAGUUAGUGCCUCCACAGAAUUCACAAUGGCAUGUAUUUGCUGGUUUUGGUGAGUUCUUGUAGUUUUCUAACAAAAAUUACGUAUUAAUGUUGUUUGUUUUCUACACUUUAGUUUUUCCACCCAAAUUUUCACUUGUUGAGAAUCAUACAGGUACUCUGAAGGGUGGCCGUGCUGACUGGCUUGUAGAGAAGUGUACUGUAUGUUUCAAUAGCAUAUUGAAAGUUAUCUGGUUAGAUUACCGCAUGUAUAUGUUAUUGUUGUUUUUCUUCCGUUCAUGUUUAACUGCCAUAGGAACUUGGAGCCAGUAGUGUUACUCCUCUAUUGACUGAACGUUCUGCAUCAAUCUCAGAAAAUCGGGUGGACAGACUGGAACGUGUCAUUUUGGCAGCAUCUAAACAAUGUAACUACAUAUCCAUUUUUGCAUCUGAGGUCAUAGUAAUAUAAUUUGCUGCCAUCCUAGAGAACCACAAAUUGGUUCGCAAGUACCGGUUCAUGGAACUUUUACGUAUUGGUUCGCAGAAAUUCUUGCAUAAUUCGCAGAUAUCCAUGUAUCGGGAAAGCACUCCAGUUAAUUGAGCAUUAAGAUAGCCCAAUAACUGAUUAUUGGAACUAAAGCCUUAUACUGCAUUGUCAAAUGUUAUUCACUAAAAUUAUUAGCGAAUUAUACAGCUGUCCAACAAGAGCUUUACUCCUUGAUUGAUUAUUCCAAGAAAGCUUACCUCUGUAUUUAUAGCUAACUUGCCUCUGUAUAUUUGACAAAGGUUCCAAUAUGGGACUUAUGCUACCUCUCUUUCGGUGACAAUAGACACUUAUAUUUUCUUUUGUGACUUUUGUUGGGAUAUGGUUUUUAAAAUAAAUGUUUCUAAUUUUUCUUUCUCUUAUUGAUGAUAUUAAUAUUUUUCAUUAUUUAAUUUUUUGUUUUUAACUAAAUAAAUUUUUUUAUUUAUAGUCUACUGAUUAGUAUAUUAGAACGUACCACGAACCGAAUAGCGUACCGACUAUGUAUACCUCCAACGUGCCUAAUACUUUCAAGGUUGUGUACCGCGUACCUGAGCUCGUACCACGCACCGAAGAGAAUUGUGAACCAUGUGACUAUGGGCUAAACAUUUAUUUUGCUCCUUCUAGAAUUUUUUAGGCUAUUUUGACUGAAGUUUUAAAGUUGGUUCUAAAAUGAAAGACACUAUUUCAUUUUUUAUCGGUGAAUCUUAUAUUGUUGCCUCUCUGAUAGGUCAACGACUGCAUGAAAUGAUCCUAAAACCUCCUGUAGAGAUUGGUGAUCUUUUGCAUCUUGUAAGUGUUUCAUUCUUUCUACUUGGCAAGAAAUUCGGGCAUGAAUUGAAGUUAUUUGAGAAGAAAAUUAGCCAGUGCAUAGUAAUAACCUAUUACCUUCAUGAAUCCAUCUUAUUUACCAUUGAUAUGUUUGUCGCUUUCCUUUUUAUUUUUGGAAUUCUUUGAGUUAAACUAAGGAUUUGAUUACAUUGGUGUGACUGUUAGCAAUUUAAUAUAUGUGGCUACAUAGUCAAUUCAUGAAUUAUGCUCAUAGAAUUCCAACAUUUGUCUUCUGUGUUUAUAACUUGACCUGUUUUCUGUCACUUAGAUUGCGCAAUCAAAGCUAUCUCUUGUUGCAACAGCAGAAGCAACUCCUGUUCUUAAUGCAUUGACAUCAUUGGGAAAAGAAUGUAGCGGCUUAAUCAUAGUCGGGCCAGAAGGCGGUUAGUAUACUUAAUAAGUCUAAUUUCACUUUUUUGUUUCACCGCACGUGUGUGAUUGGCAAAUAAUUGUUGUGUUUUUAGGAAGGGCAUAAAUAUAUAAUUUUUUCCAGUCAAGGUUAAAUUGACGCUAGUCUAUGUUGUAUUGGAGGUCUGCAGAUUUCACAGAGAAAGAAGUGAAUAUGAUGAUGGAAGCAGGUGCUAAAGCUGUUGGUCUAGGGCCUCAUCGUCUUCGAGUUGAAACUGCCACGAUAGCAUUUCUGGCUACCGUCAUGUUAUGGUCUGACUCUCAACAAACUUCUGUCUCUUGACUCACCUGUUUAUGUAUGUCAAGUCAUGUAUGAUUGUGUUAAAGUAACACUAUAUAUUUUGUAUUUCUUGUCUGUUAGAUAUAAUUAUUCUAAAUUACAUUGGGGAUGAAAAUGACAUUUUUCUAUUUGAGUUGGGGAAAUGGAGAUAAUGCAUUGAAUGUUUUUAGGUCUUUGCCUUCUUUGAUUGAGAGGAUUCACCGUGCUUUUUAAUACUGUGGGUCAAUUGAUAAAAUUCAAACGUUGGUAAGACGUAAGAGAAUAACUUGAAGUUUCAUGUAAACCGAAUACCAUGUAUACAACUUGCAUAUUUGCAAAUUGUAUACAUGGACUGUGGAGGCAUUUUAGGGAUCCCCAUUAUCAUUCAAGGGCAAAGUCAUGCACCUUUCGAUAUUUUUUUAUCCUUUCAAAAUGAGCCUUAAUUCAUAAAAAUUUACUACUAUAAAGUCUUAUUGAGUAGAAGCAUAAGGGACAAUUGAAACAAAAAUAUCUCAUACAUAUCAACUGAUUUUGCAAUUAUAUCCCCACACAUUGUAUAGCAAAAUAGUCUAUUUUAACCAUAUAUAAGCCACUAAGACUAGUCUAAUAGUGAAGAAUUUAGGUAGAAGGUAUGAGGCCUUAGGUUCAAAGAGAUCUCCUGAUUUAAAUUAUCCUUAUUGCCUAGCAUAAUGUUAAUACAGAUAUGCUAUAGCUGUCUGGAAUGGUUAGCCCGUUGUAUGUUAUUAUAAAUUCCACGUGAUUAUUAGAAAAAUCAUUUAAUCUUUAGCACGAUGUUGUGUAUUUUUCGUAGUUGACAUUUUUUAUUCAUGUCGUGAAUUGCACAAAACUACCUUCUUUUUAUAUACACAUCAAGUCCCUGUAGCAUAUAAUCUUGAACGAAUAGUUGCAUUAUCAUAGAACCCUUAUACGUUCCUUUAUUUUUACACCUUCCUUUUUGUCACAAAUCUUCUGCCAAACCAAGCUAGACUUUCAAUUAAUUGUGGGGAUACUUAAGUUGAAGGUAAGAACCAUGACAAAGAAAACAACCAAGAAAAGUAAGUUUAAACACUUCAUAUUGGGCCCAAUAAGAAUUCUAAAGAAAGCAACGCAAUUUUACAUGAAAAGUAUUAUUGAAUGUGCUGGAGGGUAUGGUGUUGGAGCUGCCAAUCACAUUCCACACUUGCCUAAGCCUAACAUCAUCAACCACAAUGUGGAUAAAAGGAAUCAUGCAACGAGGCAAAGACAACAAGUUGUAAAGAUGGGGAAGAUUGACGAAGAUCAGCCAUGUCAUUUUGAGAACAAUAAUCAAAUUGGUUUGAAGACCAAUAUUUUGUAUAUAAGAAAGAGGGCCAGUGUUGUCAAAAAACCACCAGUGGAUCUUGAUUUGUGUUAAGAUUUGUUUUACUUUUGCUAUUAAAAAAAAUAUUUGUUUUGGUUGUAAUUUUUAACUUUUUUUUUUUUUUUACUUUAACUGUUAAAUUUAUUUACAUGGUUUUUACAUUGUUAUGGAUUUUUUUUUUUGACAAGCUGUUAUGGAUACUUUGAUAGUCAUUCAUACGUUAUCAACAAGCACUCGUGGGUUAUCCAAUUUUUUUCCUUUUUAAUUUUCAUUUUUGUGCUAAAUGUUCUAAUCUAGUGCUCAAUUUUUUUUACCGAUAAAUACAAAUUUUAUUCAUAACAGAAAUAUUACGUAAUAUGUAAAGAGGGAACAAAGAGAUAAACUUCAACCAAAAUCUAGGAGCGUAUUUUCCAAUCAAAUAAAGUUUUUCAUACAUUUUUCAGGUGUAUUAUGCUGAUUUAGCUGGAGCUACGACUCCGCGCUUAAUACCGAUGUAAUCUCUCUUUUUAGGCCUUUGCCCUCUUUUAUAUAUAUGUUUACCACAAAUUGUGCAAGGAGAAAAAACAAAGUUUUCCAAUCAAAGAGAGAAGUUUAUGAAUAAAUUUACAUAAAGUAAUGAGAUAAACAUAACAAUUAAUAUAAAAAUUGUGAAAGGAAAAAAACUAAUUUCUGAUUACUUGUUUUUCACAUUAUAAUACUUAUAAGUAAUGUUGACAAAUUCUUUUUUAUAAGCAAAUUCUUUUUUUAUUUAAUAAAUAGAUGUCUUAACUGAUUUUUUUUCUCCCACAAGUUUUUCAAUUAUGUGAUUUUCUCCAUUAGUUUCGAAUGAACGAUUUUAGCCUCUAAGGCUCCUAAUCGUGUGAUUUUAUCUCGUUUAUAUAUGAACUUUUUUAACCUUCAAUACUUUUUAAUUGUGCAAUUUUGCUCUCCUCUCACUUACUUUCAAAUGAGUGAUUUUAGUCCCAAAGUUUAUCCCCUUUCUGAUUUCAUAGUCCUCUACUCAUUUUUUUUAAUUGCCUAAGUAGGUGAAAAUUUUGAAGUACAUUUAAUGCACUUUUUAAAAAUCAAUAUGUAGAAAAAUAAUGAAUAAAAUAUUUUAUAAUAAAAAUAAUAAGUUUCAAAUAUGAUAAAAUAUAGAUAUUAAAAGAAGUUGCAAAUAAUAUUAAAAUGUUGACAUUAAAAAGAAAGUACAAAGUCCAAGUAAUUUAAUUUCAUUAUUUAUUUUAAAUACAAUGUACUUUUUUUAAAUUAGUAAUAAAUUUGGUCAAAAGAACUAGUGUGAUAAAUUUGAAAGACGACGAUGGUAAUAAUUAUAAAUAUUAAAAUCAUAAUUUAAAUUUAUUGUAAUUUUUAAUUUAAAUAUAUAGAACUAUAAAAAAAAUAAGUAAUUAAAUUUAAUUAUUACUUUUAUUUGAAACAAUUAACAUCAGGACAAUAUUUUUAAAUACCAUGUACGUUUCUUUUUAAAUUAGUAAUACAUUUAAAAUAACAUGACAAUAAUAUUUAAUUACUAUCAUUUAAAUAUAAUUCUUAAUUUAAUUAAAAUUGGUAAUUAAAUAUAUAAAAUAAAGAACUUGGUAUUCAAUAGUGUGAUACUCACUUCCUCUUUAAAUUUUGGUCAUUUUUGCACAUUGGAUACAUGUAUUAAAAAACAAUGUUGAUUAAGUUUUUUUUUUUAACAUUCAUUCAUUAAAUAAAAACAAAAUUUAUUUAAUACAUAUUUUGAGUUUUUAAGAGUAUAUAUAUAAAAAAAAACAUAAUUAAUUACAUAUAAGUUUUUUGAAGAAACCAAAAUUUUAAGGCACAAAUAAAAUGCUUAGACAAAAAAAAAGGGACAGAAGGAAUUAGUAUUUAUCAACAAAAAUAAUUUGGAUUUUGUUUAUUUGAUAGAAGAAGAAAUGCCAAAAAGAUGGAAACCGAGUUAGUUAUUAUAGUUAUUGUCAGCGUAUUUGAUGCAGUCUCGCGAUUUGGAAUUUUGGGGUAAAAAAACAGAAUAAGCAACCUUUUGAUUUUGGUAACCGAGUUAAAAUAAAAAUUGUUAUGUGAGUAAUAAAUUCACUAAAUCUAAAAAUGGUAAACUAUAUCCUUUGGGUGAAUGCAAUGAAUGAGGACAAUAAUAAAAGAAAGAAAAUAAAGUACAUAUAAAGUAUAGAGUGUACCCGCCUAGACGCUAGUAUAUGCAAUUUGUGGAGAAGAGAUGAUGAAUGAAGAAAGGAUGGGGAUGCGAAAAAUUGGUAGGAAAGGAAGUAUGGCAAGAACAUGGUUGGUGAUGUCCAUGGAGGGGAAGAGAGAGAUGGUCGAGGCUGGGAGACCAUUGAUAAUGCGAUGGACUGGGUUAACUGCCCGUGACCUUCGAGUCCUUGAUCCUUUGUUGUCAUACCCUUCCAUGAUUGUGGGGCGUGAGAGAGCAAUGGUUUUGAAUUUGGAGCAUAUAAAGGCUAUCAUCACUGCUCAUGAGGUUCUCUUGCUCAAUUCUACUGACCCUUCUGUCAUGCCUUUUGUUAAUCACCUUCAUUCACGGAUUCUUUAUCAACAUCUUCUUCAGGUUCUUUUUCUUAUUUUUCAUAUAAUUCACAACAACUAUAGCAAAACUAUUUCAUUUUGAGCAAUGCUCUUCUGUUUACAGGAAGAUCCAUAUGGAAAGGAUAAACGUGGAAUGACCAAGAACACUAUUCCAUUUGAGUUUGUGGUGUUAGAGGCAUGCCUUGAGGAGGUUAUUAGUUCCUUAGAAAAUGAGGUGUGUAUCUUCAGAUUCAAUUAUAAGCAAAUUCUAUUUCUUUUUUUUUUUUUUGAAAUAUUAUAUAAACAAGUAACAAUUACUCCUCCUUUAUUAAUGAUAAUAUCUAAAAAAUACUAACUUUUUUUUUCAAUAAAUCAAUCUAUUAGUUAUAAAAGGGUAAAUUAGAAAAUACAUAUAUUUUUCAAAUAUUAUGUUUUGUUAUUGUUGAUUUUUUUAUAUUAUGUUUUGUUAUUGUUAUGGUUUUUGUAGACAAAUAUAUUUGAACAGGAGGCUCAUCCAGCCUUGGAUAAGCUGACUUCAAAGAUUAGUACUGUCAAUUUGGAACGUGUUCGUCUUAUUAAGAGUCGAUUAGUUGCCUUAACUUCUCGUGUUCAAAGGGUUAGUUAGAAUUUUUCUCCUAUUACCAGUUUCUCUUUCAAAUUAUUACUUAUGUCAAAUUUCUAAUUCACUCACUGUGUAAUUAUUUCAAUUUGUCCUAUAUACUCUUGAAACUAUCUCACUGAAAUUAUAAAAAUAGUUUAUGAGAUAUCUAUAAAUUAUUUUAGUUUUAAUUUAUUUUUAUAAACUCUCUAAAAUAAUAUGUGAAAAUAACUUAUACCGUAUAUAAAAAUUGGUUGAUAAUAUUUAAUUAUUGUUGUAAAAAAAUAAUUUAUGCAUGAACAGUUGAUAUGUGUUUAUGUUAUAAACACUUAAUUAAAUUAUUUAUUUAUAUUGAUCAUAUGUUAAUUAGCGCGAAACAUAUAGGACAAUUUAGUUUUAUAUUACAAAUUUAAAUGCAAAUCUAUGGUGAUUUUGCAGGUAAGGGAUGAAUUAGAACACUUGUUGGAUGAUGAUGGAGAUAUGGCUGAGUUGUAUCUGACAGACAAAUUGGUUCAACAGAAGUUUGAAAAUUCUUCUACGGCCUCAUCCAUGAAUAAUAGUAUUAAUGGGUAUAAUGACAUGAUGAAUCGGAACAGGCAUUUAAUUUCAUUGUGAAUUUGAUCACAAUUAAUUAAUCAUGGUUGUUACCAUAACAACUUGUAUGCCUUACAUUUUUCAUUAUUUAAUUAGGACUCCUAAUGAAAUAACAUUGGAACAUGAAGAUGAUGAAAAUGAUGUUGACACAAAUAGAGGGGAAAUCUCUGGAACACAGGCUGGUAGUGUCUACAGUCAUGUAACCAAUGUUGAGGAGCUUGAAAUGAUCUUGGGAGCAUACUUUGUUCAAAUUGGUGGCACACUCAACAAACUAUUUGCGGUAUGCCGUAAUGUUCUAUGUAUCAGUAUCUGUAUUUUUGUAAAAUCACAGUGAUUCGGAUGAAUCUACCUUGAUACCAAACAGAACAGUGCUAACUAACACUUAAUAAUUAUUUGUUGGAUUGAAGCUGAGGGAAUAUGUUGAGGACACAGAGGACUACAUAGACAUAACAUUGGAUGACACACAGAACCGUAUUCUGCAAACAGGAGUGAAGAUAGGCACAGCAAGUGUUGUUUUGAAUAUGUUUAUUAAUGUGACAGGUAUUUUUGGAAUGAAUAUUCACAUUGGUCUAUAUGAUUAUGGUGGGAUGCCAGAGUUUAUUGGGGUAAUAUUCGGAUGCACUGCUGUUUGUAUAAUCUUAUAUGUGUUUGCAAUGGUUUGGUACAAGAAAAAACGCUUGCUGGAAUAGCACCUAAUUCUGUUUCAAAUAAAUAUGUACUACAAGGUUUAUGUUACAAACCAAAUUUUAUACAAGUUGGAUAACUUUGUUUUGACAAAAUUAGUUGGAUAUGCAGUCUUGAAGUUAAUCUAAACUAUUAUUCAUUAAGUAACUCUAUUGAACAUAAUUUGUAUAAACUGUUAGUUGGAUAAGUUUUUAAAUAUUUUUGUCUUACCCAAAAUUUGACAAUCAACUCUAUUGAACAUGAUUUGUCAAAAACAAGAAAACUAUUUAAUAUUUAUAAAAAAAAAUUAUUUAUCUUUUUUUAAUAGAAUAGUAAAAUUUAAAUCCGCAACUUAGAAUAUUUAAAAAAAAUGAUAUGAUAACAAAUGGAAUCACUCCAAACUAAGCCCUUUUAUUUUGAAAAAUUGGUUUGUUUCCAUUUAAAAUAAUAACAAUUUUUAGUUAUAAACUGUCACGUUAUUAUUUUAAAAAUUAGUCCAGUAAUACUAAAAAUUACUUUUUUAUAAUAUUUCCCGUACCAUCUCUGCAAAGAAGUUCAAAAAAACAUGUCAGGUUUUGUUAUUACAAAUGAAAAGAAAAAAAAAAACUGUAUGAAAUUAUAAUUUGGAGUGUACUUUGGUUUAAAAAUAAUAAUAAGAGUAAAACAAUAAAUUGGUCCCUCACAUUUUAGAUGUAAGUCAUUUUAAUCCGUAAAAAAUAAUAAUAAUUGUAAAAAAGGUUUUGGUAUUUGAUUACUUAGAAUGUUUUAGUCCCUAUACAUAUGGAGCAUAUUGUACUAGGCUAGCACCACAUCCACAUCUUCGUUAUCCAUUAGGGACUUGUAAACAAAACAAAGUUAGAGAUGAGUUCCUCCAUAGGGCAAAGCAUAUUAAUGGCACUAACAGUUACAGUUAACAAAUAUGCAUCAUCCAAUAUGCAUUUACAAGCAGUUCAUAAAAAACAAAGGCAAGCAACAAACUCAAACUUAAGCACCAACGCUGGAUUUGGAAGGAGAGGACUCGUCUUAUCCACAGUAAUUGCUGCCACUCAAGUCCCUGACUCUAGGACUCAACUUCUUCAAAGUAUGCAUAUUCUUUUUUCUUGUCACUUUAACAUUCUAAUUUGUAACUGAAAAAUAUGUUGUAAUGAAAUUGUUUAUCAGAAUAUCUGGAGAAAUCAGAGGAAAACAAGGACAAAAAUGACAAAGAGGUAAACAAAUUUUUUAGUUAAGAGUGUUUAUAGUGUAUGUCAAUGUUGUUAGAAAAUUAUUUAAUUUUGGAUGAGUUGGUUUAGCAGAGGCUGGAUAGUUAUUACAAGCGUAACUACAAAGAUUACUUUGAAUUCAUAGAAGGGAGUUUGAAGGGAAAGGAUGGGAAACUUUCAGAAGCAGAAAAGGGUAUUCUUGAUUGGCUUCAAACUAACAAGUGAUUUGUAUAUUGCUUUUCGUUAAUUGCAUUCUUUAUACAUUACUUAGGUUCACUAAUCGUAAUUUGGUAAAUGGUAAUCACACACGAAUUUUACAAGUGAUAUAUACUAAUUACAUGUGUUUGUGUGGAACAAAUUUCCAAACUACAAAUUUGAUUGGUGCUGUGGUUGUGUGUUAUAAAUUUGUAAAUAGUUCUUUCACUUCACAAAAUACAUAUUUUUUCUAUAAGUAUUGACAUUUUAGAGGCAAAAAAACAACAAGAAGUUGACUUCACUGUGAUGCAAAAUUCUGUUGAAAUAUUUCUAAAUCAUUUUUUAUUUUCUCUAAGGCAUGAAAGUUUUAUUAAAUAAAAUAUCAUUAAUUAUUACAUUAGGUAUAAUUCACUUUAAAGUUUUCAAAAUAUCUUAAAAGAGAUUAUGGAAUUUUUUCAUAUGCAUUCAGAUUGCAUAAAUUGAUGGGAGCAAAUCAAACUUAAAAUUUCAUGUGAUAUAUCCGAUUGAAAGUUAUUUGUGCACUUAUCUUUAUCUUCAAUCUUCUACUUUGUUCAAGUUUUUGAAAACACAAAAUCUAAUAUAUUAUAUUAUGGAUACUAAGAUUAUGCAAAAAUAUAUAACUAAUUAGACUGUAUUAAUAAACUAGACCGCAUUGCACUUGAAAAAUUCAAACCAAUUAAAUAAUCAUGAACUAAAUCGCAAAUUUAUAACACACUAAUUAACCAACUUUAAUAAAUAAAUAAAUAAAAAAUCGUUUAACCAUUUUAAAAUUAUUUUAACCAAAAUCAUCAUAAAAAAUAAAAAUAAUUGAAUUUGUCAAAAAAAUAAAUGUAAUUUUCAUUAAACCCUAGCCACAAAUCUCUUUCUCCCUCUAUUCAAGAAACUUUUUCGUUUUCAUUCUAAAAUUAAGUACAUGUUCAUAAUUCAUAAUUUCAGUUUAUGUUUUAAAAUUGGUAUUCUCGCGAUAUUUUUUCUUUACUCUUAUUCAAUUAACACUAUUUGUUUGCAAAGUAUUACGUUGUAUAUUUUUCUAUUAUAAAAAUAUUUAUUUAAGAAAUUAGUAAAUAAAUAGCUAAAUCUAUUUAUAUUUGGAUUUGAGCAAUUUAUUCUCAGUGUUAUUUUGAUCAAUUCCCCCAUUAACACCUGUUUAGCGUCAAGAAAUUUGAGAAAUGCAACAAAUUUAAAAACUAAAUAUACUGAAAUAUGUUGAAUUGUUUAAUGUACCGUAAGAAAUUCUCGUCUACUAAGAUGUGAAAGAAGAAUAAAUUAUGUCAACUAAACAUGUUAGUAAUAUGAAUAAGCUAAUCUAUGACGUCAGAAUAGAGUUUUUGAUGAAUCAACAAUAAGUUAAUUUAAAAUUUUAUUUUAUUUUGUCUUUUUAAUUAAAAUUUUUAUCCUCAAUUUGAGUUAGAUUAAAAACCAAUAGGAUAAGAUAAUAACAAUAGUUUACUCAAUUAUUUUUAUUAAAUAUAAUUUAAAAUAUAAAUUGAAAUAUAAUAAAAUAUAACUAUAAAAACAAUUUACAAAAUAUUAUCAAAAAUAUAAAUCUAAUCAAAUAGAAAAAUAAUUAAUAGAAUUUCAUAUUAAACUUAAAAAUAAAAUAUUAAUAAUUAAUUUAAAAAUGUUCAUGAUUUUACACAUAUAAUUUUGUCUUUUUAUAUACUUUAAUAAAUUAGUAUUCACAAUUAUAAAAAUAAAAAAGUUAAUUGAAAUUUUAAAAUAAAUAUAAUUUAUUUACAAGGUAUUCUUGUCAUUUACAUAUAAUAUAUAUCAUAUCUUUAUUUACAUUAUAAUAAAAUAUAAUUAUUUAAUUACAAAUAUUGUUUUUAAAAUUAAAAUUAUUUAUUUAGUAGUAUCAAUGGAUAGUUUUAAUAUAAAUUACUUCAUUAUUUAUUUAAUUUUGUUGUUAAUUUAUAAUAUUUAAAAUAUAAUAAGUUAAUUUUAAAAAAACUAAUAUGUAAUUGUUCACAAUCGUAAUUUUGUUAUUUAACUCUAAUAUAUAUUAUGUAAUAACUUGAUGAGAUGUAUAUCAAAUACUUAAUAAAAUAAAAUAUUAUCAUGAUAAUGUUUAUCAUGUCACUAUCUUAUCAUAUAUUAAUUUAUUUUUAUCUAGGUUUGUAUUCAAUCAUGUCUUUCUUUAUAUGUCCGACCUUUAUGUUGCAUGUAAUUAGAGUUAUCAAAUAAACUCAAAAUUCUUAAAUCUUAAUUUCAUAAGUGGUCUCUUAAUUAUUUUAUUGAGAAAAUUAUUUUUUUUGGAGAAAUUUAUUUUUUGACAUUUUUCAGACAAAAGUAAUUAUAUUUUGUCUAUAAAAAUUUGAAAAAUAUUUGUUUCCUAAAAAAAUCAUGUAUUUUUUGUGGAAAAAAAAAAAUUGGUAUAAAGUUGGGCCUAUGAACCCAUUUUGUCCACAAGAUUAUUGGACUUUUUUGUUUCUAGAGCUUUCUAAGUAAAGUAUUUUUAGAAUUUUCUAUUCGUCAACUUCAUCUAUACUUCUCACCUUUCAUUAUAUUUAAAAAGAUUAUUUUAUUUUUUUUAUAAUAUAUAAAAAGUUAAUUUUUUUUCUUUUCACUCACACAUUCGAAAUUUUAAUAAAAAUUAUUAUAAAAUUUUUAAAGCUUUGGUUGAUUAUAAAAUUUUGGAAAUACAAAAUAAGUUUACUUUCGAAAGUUUAGAAUUUUACCAAAAUUUUUAAAAUGUAAAUUUUGUUUCAAAAUAAUUACAUUAUUUUUUUUUAUAGAAUUUUCUAUUUUCUAUUCUAGAAUUUCCAAUUUCUAUUUUGGAAUUUCUUAUUUUGAAAAAAUUCUAUUCUAAAAUUUUAAAUUUCAAAAAUAUUAAUUAAUUUUCUAAACUUUGAAAUUUCCUAUUUCAGAUAUUUCAUAUUGUUUGAAACUUUUGAAAUUUUUUUAAAAAACGGGAAAUUAAGUUUUUCAUGUUUGAAAUUAAUCCAAAAAAAAUUGAAAGUUUGAAUUAAAAAGUAUAAUAUUAAAAAUAAUUUUUAAAAAGGAGUAGUUCAAACAAAUUUUUUAGUUUUUAAAUUUUAAAAUAUUAAAAUAGAAUUUUUGAUAUCUGAAUCAAACAAGCCCUAAAUUUUUCAUGUUUGAAAUUAAUCAAAAAAAAUUAAAAGUUUGAAUUAAUUUGAAAUUUUCCAAUCAACCUUUAACAAGAGUUUCAGAACUAAAAAAUUCAAAAUAUAAUUUUUUCGAAAAUGAUGAAUGUUUAUAAUUUUAGUUAAAUUUUCAAAAUAGUGAAAUUACUUUUUGAAAUUUUCUAUUUUAAAAAUUUCCUAUUUUAUUUUAAAAAUAUCUAAAUUCCUGAAAUUUUAUUUUUCAAAAAUUUUCUAUUUUUAUAUAUAGAUACGGAUGUCAAGUAGAAAACUCGUUUUUUUAACUAUAAAGUUUUUUUUUUUAGCCACUUUAACAUAUGAGCCCUGAUCAAUAAAACUUGUAAUUAUUUUAAGACUUAGACAGAAUUGGAUUUAACUUUAAUUAGGAUUACACUUGUUAAACAGAUUAUGUGUACUAACUCUGACAACAUAAUAGUUCACAACUGCUUGAUCUUAAUCAAGAUAAUUUGAAUGUGUAUUAUGAGCAAUCCGACAUCAAAUUAAUAUUAGAAUUAUUCCUGCGUGUAAAUAUAUGAUAUUACAAAUUAGGAUUUUUUGUGUGUGUGAGGUAAUGAGUUAGUAAGUAAAUGACAGUGAUGAAGUAAUAAUGUCUAGAACAUUCAUUUCCUUGACAUAGAGCCUGAAAAUGUUGUCAAGGGAAUUGGAGACAUCCAAACUAAAAUGGCAAUGGUCGCUUAAAUAGGAGAUCAGAUAAUAGACAAGUUACAAUUACAUUUGGUUUGGGCGGUGGUUGGAAGGACAAUAUUGUUUCUCCCACUCCCUUUUAUUAUUUUUAUUUUUAUGGACUGCACCAGACAAUUACUAUAUCAUACUGUCUUUUCAAUUAAAAAAUUUAUUAGUAAUAUAUUACAGUUACUCCAAAGACACGUAUUCAAAAAAUAAUUUUCAAUUUCAGAAAUUGAAUGCAUUUUUAAGAAAACAUUUUUAUAUUUAAUUACUUUAGGAGUUGUUUGCUCGUUUGGUUUCCUAAUUUGGUUAACCGUUCUUUAUUACUUAGUCAUUUUUUAAUUUUAAUUUGUUAAGAAUUUUAUUGUCAAACUUGUUAGAGUUGUUUGGAAAAUUUUAUGCUUUAGGAAUAAAAUUUGGAAUUGUAAAAGAAAAUAGAGUUUAAAAUUAUAUAUAUAAUUUUAAUUUUUUUACUAUAAUUUGUAUUAGUCAAAACAGUUUAAAUUUAUAUCUCUUUUUUUUUUUUAUUGUUUUAGAAUUUUAUAAAAUAAUUAAAUAUUCUUUUUAAAAAAAUGUAAUGGUAUUGAAGUGUAUGAAUUGUAACAUAUUUUAGAAAGAGUAUAUGUUAUAAUGUUAUAAUAAUUUUUAUAUAUUUUCAUUUUAGUCGUAGUUUUUCUAAAAAUUUAGAACUUCUACAUUAUUUUUUUGUUUUAAUUUUUAUAUAAGUUCUUUAAUUUUUUAUUUUCUCAAGAAAACUUUAGAUUAUGUAUGAGAAAACACGUGGGCAGGGAUUAUAAAUUUAGUUACCCUAAACUCUGAAUGGUCAUGUAUUUUCUUUAGCCUUUUCAACCAUUUUGGACUGGCAGAAGGUGUUAUUAUUAUUAUUUAAUUAAACAAAAACUGAGUCAGAAUAAGUAAAGGAAUAAAAUAAAGAAAAUGAAAGGCACGAUUGUGUAUGACAAGUCCUGUGAGACAGCUUCCAAGCAGACAGGUUUGGAGGGAACAAAACUACAUAAACAAACAUUUACAUCAUCAUAUCAUUUCAUAUUUUAAAAGAGGAUCCUUCCAAAAGAGAUAAUGUUGACAAACUAAACGAAAUGGGUCAUUUAACGCAUGUUCCUUUGGGCCACGAAUAUCUCACCCAGGAUUUCCUCAGCUUCAAACAGAUAUCAAGAGGAAAAUAAAUUGCUUAUACUACGCAUUUAUUCAUCUCAAAUUAGUACUCAACAUAUUUACUAUGCAACUACAUGAUUAUCAGUCCUUUUGUUACAUUUUUUUUCAUACAAAAUCACUUUUGAAUUUUUUUAUAUAUUUAUUACAACUUUAAAAAAAAAUUAGAAUAUGAAAAUAAUCUAAAAAUUACUUCAAAAUAAUCCAUCCUUGAAAGAGAUGCAUAUGAAACAUAUUGCAACUUCAAAAUUGGCAUUUCCUCCUUAUGAGACUAAACCUUACUUAUUGAGUGAAUUGGAAAUGCUGGAAUUUUCAGAAAACGGAGCCUUGUCUGGACUCUUACAAACACUAAUAAAGGCCUUGUCCAAUUGUGUUUUUUAAGGAGUAAUUGAAAUUUGAAACUUUUCUUUUCUUAAAUUUAUAAUCACUGUUGCUAGUACUAAAUAUAAACAAGCGAAAAUUAAAAUUAAGAAUAAUUAAAGAUCCACAAGUAAACAAAAAGUCAUCCUACUUAAUCAAUGUUGGAUCACAUUGCCUUUAUCUGAAUUAUUUUAUCUAUAAAUCCAGUAUCAAUACAUUUGUCGGCAGCACAUUAUUUUUGUCUUGCUUUAUAAAAAAGAAUUAAAAUACAUUUAUGAAAGAAAAACAUACAAAUUAUCCAAUUGGCCACUUCUAUAGAUUUUGUUUGUGAGCGUGCAUAUGAAAAAUAAUCGAUAAAUUAAACAGGAAGAUUUAGAAGUAAUAGAUUAUAUACACCAUGAUUUCAGUAUCUACUAAAAAAAUGUAUAAUCCAAAAUCAGGUGCACAGCUAGCACAGAUUUUGAAUGUGGACACAAUUUAAUUUAAAGUUAACUUCUCAAACAUCAAUUUUAAACUGUAAUUGUUAAUUACGUUGCAAAUUUUUAUAUUACGUAAAAUAUUAUUUAAAUUGUGAUUAUAACAUUGUUGUAACAAAUUUAAUAUUUAAAAUAAUAUUUUCAAUUAUUAAAAUUAUUUGCUUAUAUAAGAAAAAAUCAAAUUAACUAGUAAGUUCUUAAUUAGCAUUUAUUUGUUUGCAAGAAUUACUGGUACUGCAUCAAAAUAACAAGGAGUAGUUAACAUACUUAUACAAAAUCUAACUUACUAAUUUAGCUUCUAAUCGUGAUUCACUAACAAGAAAAUAAAAUUUUGUAAAGCAAAAAAAAAUAAAAUGACUAACAUGCCCUUUCAGGUUGUUUCCCAUUGCAUUGACAAAAGUAAAAAGAGAAAAAGAAGCAUUAAAUUCCUUUUACACCAUAAUAACUCUCUUUCCAUUAAUCUUGAAUAAUUCCACUGCAACAUCUUCAAUAGCAGAGGCAGCCAUUAAUAAAACUAACAUCUUCUUCCCCUCAUUCCCAUUCCUUUCCCUCCAUACCAUCUGUUAAAAAAAAAUUGAAAAUCAUUCAACAUAACACAUUAAAAAAAAAUUAUAACAAUGCACAAAAGAAGAUUAACUUUUUCUUUUUGGAAAUUCAAAAGAAGAUUAACUUACUUGUUGCCUUGAAUUUCAUUUUUCGAUAAAGAUGGUUGUAAAUAACCAAAGUGUUGUUCUUGAUAUGAGGAUCUUCCCUACAAAUAACAUAAAUUAUUUUAGCUAUUACAAAAAUCAAAUGUAAAAUAGUAAAAUCAAAAGAACAGAAUCAAGAUAAUUACCUCAAAAUAAUUAGUUGCUGAAAAACCUUGUGAAUAAUCUACCAUACUCUCUUUAUACGUUUGUUGAUUUGUCCCAACAUCAUUGUUCUGAAAAAUUGUCAACAAACACAUUUCAUACAAUUCAUGUUUUCUUUAAAAAAAAUUAAUUUAAUUUAAAUGGUUUGUUAUGAAUAUUUACAACGUAACAAAAUAAAUAUUUAACAUCUGAAACAAACUUACAGUGGAAAAGUCAAAGACAUGAGAGCUAGCAGUAUCAUGAAGAAAAGAAGGAAGAUGUUGUUGAUCUUCAACUUGAAGUUGUUGUUUAUUUUUGUCUUUAACAUUCUGUUUCUUUGAAGCACUCUUGUUCUGUUUCACUAAGUUGGAUUCUGAAUAAAAGCAAGCAUUGUUUUUUUGAUUGAAGUAAUUAGCAUCAUCAUCAAAUGGAAGAUAUUGUGGAGGUCCAGAAGAAGCAUCAGAAAUCAUAGACAAAUCUUCAACACCUUCAGAAUAGUCAUUUGUGACUAUUUUAUCUUUGUGUUCCCCAUAAUACCCUCCUCCAAAAGAGUGUUCAAGGUAUAGAGUCCAACCUGACUCACAUCCACUACUACAUUCUGAAUCAAAUGCACUCAUGUUUUCUUUUCUAGAUUCUACUUUCUAGUGUAUAUGAUGAAAGAAAAGAAAGACUACUAGGUAGAUGUAAAAGGGUGAAAACAAUGGAACAUUUUAUUAAGGUUGUUUGUGUUUUGUAGCAAUGUGGGUUCAGUCCAGUUAAACCAUCAAAACAAUCGUCUUCGCCUCAUAAAACAAACUAAAAUUACCUCUAGAGAUCAUUUUAUUUAAUUAAAACUAAUUACAGAGUGAAUUAAAUAUUGUAUUUUUAUGUAAGAUUUUAAGCCAUUAAAUUAUAUACUCUUGAUUAUUUAGUGUUUAAAUCCAAUUUUCUAUUUAAUGUAGUAUUUUUAUUUAUAUUUGUACAUCUACAUCAAUAUGUAGUAUUUUUAUUUAUAUUUAUACAUCUACAUCAAUAUGUAGUUUUUUUUUUAAUAAUUUAAUUUUUUUUAAAUUAUCAAUAUAUUUUCCUUUAAAAAUUAUAUACUAAAUAGGCAUUCUUUUUCAAUUAGUUAGAAAUCAUUAUUUUCAAAAGUUAUUUUUUUUAUGAAAGUCUGAGUUUGAGUUCGGAUUGAUGAUUUCAUUUUUUCUUUUUUUUUUUAUUUUCCACUAAAUUCUCUUUUAAAAUAGCGACUUUUCGAUCAUACAUAGAAAUCACAUUUUUUAGGACAACUUUCCAAAAUACAUUAUAGUCCAAAAAAAAAAAUAAAUCUUUAAAAAACUUGUGGUUCUAAACUCAAAUUUUCUUAACGAAGUCGUAUUUGCAGAUUUUAAUUUGUAUAUGGAUAAUUUUUUUAAGAUUGGGUUAUUAAAAUAAAAAAAAUCUCAAUAUAUAAGUAUAUUAUAUUAAUUUUAAAAUUAAUAAAAUUUUACCUAAAAUAAAUUAAUAAAUUUUAUCAAUUUAAAAAAAUUAAAUAAAAUUAGUUAUCAUAGUUUAUAAAAAAUCUAGAACAUUCGAUAAAAUAAAAUUAAAAAAAAAAAGUAAUUUUAUUGAAGUUUAAAAGUAGCAUAGUUUAAAAAUGAAAAAUUUGGAGCUUAAUAUAUGUUGUACCGACCUUAAAUGUGUGAGUAGUUGUAUAUAGGUGGUGGAAAAAAACAAAGAGAAUCAAAGUAAAAUCCUAGAGUAAUUUUGUCCUGACUCAAGUCUGUAUGCGAAUGAAUCAAAAAAUGCCAGUUGUGUGUGUUAUAAUGGGUUGCAUGUAAGAGAGAGAAGAAGCACAUCACACCAUGACCAUACCCCAUUGAUUCACAUGCUAGACAGCGAGGCACAGUGUACCCUCUCAACAAAACAGGGUACACGUCUAUUUCCAUUCUACAGUUUAUUGACACCUAUCACAAUUCUAUCUACACCUACUUUUCAUUUAUCCUAAUUUUAAGGAGGACUAUAAUAUUGUUACUUAUUUCAUUCAACUCAAGGGUCAAUAAUCUAACUCAAACUCAUUCUCCAAAUAUGGAUUUUAUAAGGUACAUCACUAACCUCAUUUGUACCUACUUCAAAUAAGGGAAAAAUAUAUUAUGCUAUUUUUAACAUAUAUAGAUAUAGUGCAUUCAUUUUCAUUUCAUGUGCUUCAUUUAUUAUGUGGCGGGAUUAAAACAUCGCUCAAUAGAAAUAAAAUCUUCUUGUAUAGCCUGUAUUGUAAUACUAUACACUAAUACUACCAUAUAUAUAGCUUGCAGAUCACAAUUAAGUUUUUGGUUUUGCAAUUAAAAAAAUUGAUUUUUGUAAUUUGUUUUCGAUUAAAAGAAAAUAUAAAUUAAAUUAUGUUUGAAUAUAUUUGUGUGAAAGUAAUUUAACUUAUAAGCUUUCAUGAAAAAAUUAUUUUUUUAGUUGAAAACUAUAAAUUAUAGUUUUAACUUGAUUAAUUUCAUUCGAUAAUAUUUAUUAAUUAUGUCAAAAUUAUUUCUUUAUAAAAAAUAUUGAAGAUGUAAAAUUAAUUAUAAGUUAUUUUAGUUAGAUGUUAAUUACAUAUUAGUUACGCUAGUUAGAAGUUAAUUGUUCUAAUUUGGGUAUAUAAAUUUUAUUAUAUCUAUUAUUGUAAUUAUCUUUUUAAAUUCUUCAACACAAAAAAAUUCUCUAUUUUUCUCUCUUUCAUGAAUCAAUAUAAAAAUUUGAUAUAUUCUAUUAUGGAAUUAGAAAACUAAUUAUUCCGCUAUUUUUUUUUCAAAAAAUUAUUAAGAAAAUUUGCAUAAUGACAAUGAAAAAAAACAAUCAACCAAUGGGCAUUAAAGACAGAUAUUUGUCGGAAAAAACUAUUUCAAAACUUAAGACUUCUUCCAUA
RNAcentral lists this long non-coding RNA (55420 nucleotides) under Cicer arietinum (chickpea). RNAcentral describes it as "long non-coding RNA (CARI_LNC001069)". Lineage: Eukaryota; Viridiplantae; Streptophyta; Magnoliopsida; Fabales; Fabaceae. The record is from RNAcentral.